This 59363-nucleotide long non-coding RNA is filed under the name Lathyrus oleraceus (garden pea). Its description in RNAcentral is "Pisum sativum (pea) long non-coding RNA (PSAT_LNC031667)". Lineage: Eukaryota; Viridiplantae; Streptophyta; Magnoliopsida; Fabales; Fabaceae. The record is from RNAcentral.
AAAUAUCCUUGAUGCAGGCAUUGUUAUGCUAUAUGAGUCUUCUGGCAUUGAAGCUUAGUAGACAAAUUUACUCAUUAUCUUAAAUUACUCUAAAGCAGAAUCACAAGGUAAUGAUAAAAAAAAAGCUUAAAUCACAAAAUGCUGGAUGCGCUUGAUUCCGAAACUAAUCUAAGCCACUUAAAUCCAUAAUCACAAACCGAAUCAAAACAACUUAAAUCAUAACAGCUCAAAUAAACCGAAUAAAAACAACUUAAAUUAAAACAGCUUAAAUAAACCGAAUCAAAACAACUUAAAUUAAAACAGCUUAAAUAAACCGAAUCAAAACAGCUUAAAUCUAAACAGCUCAAAUAAACCGAAUCAAAACAGCUUAAAUAAACCGAAUCGAAACAGCUUAAACCCAACAAUCCUAAACCAAAUCAAAACAAUUUAAACCCAAAAAAAAGCUUGAAUAAACUGAAUUGAAAACGACUUAAAUCUAAACAGCUCAACUCUACAAUCAUAAAACGAAAUAACACAACUUAAAUCUAAAACAACUUGAAUAAACAAUUCUAUUGCAACAAACAAGACAUUCGGUCGAACACGCCGAGUCGUAGAUAAACCACUUCUAGAUAAACAAUUUUGAAAUUUAUAACAGUUUCGCAGCAACACACACAUGAUUAAAUCCAAUUAAAACAUUGUAAUAGAUACGUUUGGGAAGAACUCAAAAUCGUUACCGAAACACGGAUCUUCGUUGCUGCAAGUUGCUGAUGUGUUCUCCGAUGUUGCGGAACCGUGUGAUUGUGUUAGAGGUAGUGAUGACGAACAAAGGCGUACGCCGGUGGCUGUUGUUGUUGGUUCGCCGGAUACGAGGGGUUUAGAUGGAGAAAAUGGCGGCGGAAGAAGUGAAUGAUUCGUAGCAGAAUCACAGGGUAACAGCAGAAAUCACUUGAAAUCGAACGUUCACUUAACAUUCCCACGACUCUAAAGCUCUCAAUGAUGGACUUCACACCUUCCCUGUAAACAUCCAAAAUUUCCAGAAGCAACACAUUUUCAGCAAAUCAAUUUAAACAAAAAUUAAAAAAAAGGCUACAGGAAUAGUUGAGAGGUGGGUCACGGGGUCUUCGCCGUAGUGGUGAGGUUGUGGGUUAACGGCGUGGGUUACUGAAAAGGCGGAGGUUUGACGGGUUGUUGAAGGGGUUUGACGGAAGACGAUGGGUUUGAGCGGAUGGUGAAGGUNGUCGGGCGACCGAGUUGAUUGAUUGUAGUUUCAGAGGUAGUGAUGACGCACAAAGGCCGGGUUACCAUCGCGCUGUGUGUUGUUCGCCACCGGAUCACUCGAGGGGUUGAGAUGAGAACAUGCGCGGGAAGAAUGACACGAUUCGUCAGCAACACAGUGGUAUAGCAAGCAGAAAUCCUUGAAAUCUGAACGUUGCCUCACGUUCACUUAACAUUCCCACGGCUCUAAAGCUCUCAAUGAUGGACUUCACACCUUCCCUGUAAACAUCCAAAAUUUCCAGAAGCAACACAUUUUCAGCAAAUCAAUUUAAACAAAAAUUAAAAAAAAGCUACAGGAAUAGUUGAGAGGUGGGUCACGGGGUCUUCGCCGUAGUGGUGAGGUUGUGGGUUAACGGCGUGGGUUACUGAAAAGGCGGAGGUUUGACGGGUUGUUGAAGGGGUUUGACGGAAGACGAUGGGUUUGAGCGGAUGGUGAAGGUUGCGUUCGAAUUUGUUGGUGGAAGGUGAUUCGAAGGAUGACGGCGGUGAAUGGAGGGUUUUGGUUGUUUUACCGUCAGUGGGGAGAUGGAGAGGGCUUUAAGGGCGGAUACGGUGGGACGAUGAUGAUGGCGGCGUGAAGUGGGAAGGUGGCGGCGCCGGCGAUUUAGGGUUUGUUGACGGCGAUGAGAGAGUGUGGAGACGGCAAGGGUUUCGUGGGUUGUUGAAGAGGGAGAAAGAAGCGAGGGUUUUGAAAGGUAACGUUGAAAUCUCAGAGUGAAUAGUCAGUGAAGGAGAGUGUGAGAGGUAUUGUGAGAGAGGGAGUGAAUGUGAGCUGUGAGAAUUCUCCGAGAGAGGGGUGAAUAGUGAAUGGUUUUUGUAGGUGAGAGCAGAGAGAGAAUCUGAGAGAGAGAGGGUUUUUACAGCGUGUUUUAGAGAGAAUUUUUUUUGUCUUUUUCCUUUCUUUCGUACAGUAGAGGGAGGGGUAGUGGAAGUUUGUUACUGAGUGGGGGAAUUAGUGGAAUGUGAGUGGAGGAGAAUGAGAGACGUUGGAGUAUUUUGAAUUUUUUGUUUUUUUAUGGAUUGGGGAAUCCAAUGCAAUAUUUAUAUUUAUAAUUAUCCUAAAAAAUCUAUCUAAUAUAUAAAAAAGAAAAUUAACUAAUAUUUAUAAACAAAAAUUAACUAAUAUUUUUAGAAAAAUCUAACUAACAUAUAAAAAUUAAUUAAAAUAGUACAAUAAAAUAAAAACUAACUAAAAACUAAUUAAUAUUUAAAAAAAAAACUAACUAACUUAAUUAAGUAACUAAAAAAAACAACUAACAUUUAAUUAAAAUAGCUAAUAUUUAAAACUAACUAAAAUCUAAAUAUUCGACCAGUUAAAAAAUAGAAAUUGAGUACAAAUUUAAUUCGAAAAAAAAAUAAACCAGUCACAUUUAAAAUUGUCAGCACAAAACCUACUUAUUAAAAAUACAGGCUUUUCUCAAAUUUUAACGAUUCAACUGAUUUUUUCUGUAUUCUCAAAUAAAUCCGUUUUGACUGACAUUUCAGGCAUUUAUUCAUGAUGCAAAUGUGUGUCAUGUUAUGCGUAUGAUGCAAAAAUAAAAUGAAAUAAAUUUUAUUAAAUAUGCCCGGACAAAAUUGGGGUACGACAGCUGCCCCUAUUUAAUUAUCUUGAACUANCAGCUGGCGACUCUGCUGGGGACUUACAAGAUGUUGACCUGUGCUGGUCCAUCUUCCCUAAGCGAGUCUCUCCUAGCGUUCUAGGAUAGUUUAGGUUGCUUGUGCCGCUUUAUUUAUUGCAUUUAUUGAUCUGAUUGUGUAUAUAUUUGCAUAAAUAUUUGCAUGCAUCAUAUUAUCAUGUUGCCGUCCUCUGUGCAGGUGGUUCCUCUGUUUUUGGGGUGGGUGUUCUGAGUGGGGCUAAAACCCAGGCCCGAGUACACACCUAGGAUUAGUGUGGUCUCACGUCCCUCACAUGCUGGUUGGGCAUGUUGUUGCGACGUGACAUACCACAAGCCGGACGAGGUUCAUCUGAGAGUGCUCUUCCUCAGUGGGGUUUUCCACUUUGGUUGGGUUACCUCUUUUGAACUAUUGACUCUAGUGACCGAUCAUUUCCCGGAUCUUUGGUUUAGACGAUCUCAGGAGAGCUACAAUGGCACACCCGAAAGGGCAAACCCAUUGAGUAUCUCUGCCCGAUUGUCGAGACUAUUAUCCGCCUUAGGAUGACCUGAUUAGAAUUUACCUGUGAGGGGAGGGUGUUUCUUACAGAUGCAUGUUCAGAUGGUGACUUUGAUGGUGACUAUUGGUUCUGUUGAUCAGAGUCCUAUUUAUAAGUCGGAUUUAUGGGCAUUUCUUGCCGAGACGCCGGAGUGUUGUCCGAGUUAUUUAUCAGCGGGGAUCCGUUUAUUUCAGGAUUCCCCCGGCCGAUUCAGAGGAUUGUGGUUAUCUGCUCAGAGAUUGUCUGGUAAUGAUGAUGGUGUAUCUUUCAGUUCCGUUUAUUUCGGAACCCUUAAGUUGGAUUUAUGGUUACAUAUUCCUUCAGAUGGUUGUGAUCAGUUCAGAAAUCAGGGUUUCAGUGCAACAGAUGAUCAGAUGACUUGGAGGAUGGCAAUGCAUUGCAUUCAUUCAUAAGCAUCAUUACAUCUUGCAUUUACCUGCAUCUAACUCAUGUUUAUCCAUAUGCAGGGACAUUUUUGAUCGAGAUCCUGGUUGAGAGACUUUCUGCUCAGACAUGAGGAGGCCCGGUUUGAAGGACGAUGUUGUCUACAGUUUCUUUGACCCAGAGAUCAGUGUGCUGAAGGAUAUGAUAUCUUUGAUUGCACCCGACCAUGUGGGGAUGUUUCGAGAGGCAUACGGUGGUAUUCUGAAGAUGGUUUUCAGACUUACUGAUAGAGACAGGAGCGCCAUUCAUACUCUCCUCCAGUUCUAUGAUCCUGGUUUGAGGUGUUUUGUUUUCCCAGAUUACUUAUUCGGGCCUCUGAUGGAGGAUUAUGCUGAUAUUUUAGGCAUUCAGAUCAGAAAUCAGGUUCCUUUCUAUGCUACUAAGGAAGAGCCUGAUAUUGGAGGGAUUUCCCGUGCUCUUUAUUUGAGUCCGGAGAUGGUUAAGGGGAGUCUGAAAGAGAAGGGGAAGUUGCCUGGUUUUCAUCUGAGUUUCCUAGAGGCUAAGGCUAAGGAGCAGACGGAGUUGGGUAACUGGAAAGCUGUCUGUGCUUUGAUUGCUGCGGGUAUUUAUGGGAUCAUUCUGUUUCCUAAUCAGAAGAGCUUCGUAGAUAUUAAUGCCAUUCGCUUGCUUGUUCAGAGGAAUCCUAUCCCUACCUUGAUCGGAGAUGUCUAUUACUCGGUCCAUAAUAGGAACGAGAAGCGGCGUGGGGGAUUGAUUCGAUGUUGCGCUCAGUUGCUAUACAAGUGGUUUAUGGGAUAUUUGCCUACCCGGGGUGCUUUUGUUCUUCUUGGCCAAAAUGUCAAUUGGGCGACCAAGCUGAUGGGUUUGAGGGCCAAAGACAUAGCUUGGACUCACAGUAGUGGGGUUGGACAAGACUUCAUUUGCAGUUGUGGGGGUUUUCCCAAUGUGCCGCUUAUAGGAGUUCAGGGUUGCAUUAAUUAUAACCCGACACUUCUUAAGAGACAAAUGGGAUUCGCUAUGGAGCUUCCUCCUUUCAAGAGUGAGAUUCAGGAAACUUUGUACUUCCCGGUUGAGGGCAAUCAGGCCAAGUUGAGGCAAGUAUCUGAUGCAUGGCGCAGCAUUCAAAGGAAAGGCAAGUUUUCUUGGGGUAGAGCCAAUAACAGGUCUUUUCCUCCGUUCGAUGACUGGCUCAGUAAGAGAGUGGAGCUUACUUGUCUACCGUUUCCUAUGGUUGAUCCUUGGUAUCCGUUGAUGGAGGAAUCUCCUUCUUCUGUUAGUAUGGAAGAGUUCCUAGAGAUGAAGCGGGAGAUAGAUCAGUUGCUUGCGGAGAAAACGGAAUUGGAGAUGAGUGUCGCUCGGGUGCAGAUGGCUAAUCAGGAGAUCAGAGUGAGGAUGGAAGAUCAGGACAAGCGACAUGCCCUGGAAGCAAAGCGCUUUGAGAUGGAUACUGCCUACUAUGGGAAGGUCAAUUAGGCUUUGGCAUCUUCAACAAAGGAGCACGACAUCACCAAAGAGAGAUUGGCUAGGGCUUCAAAGGUCAUUGAAGAACAGAAGAGGAGGCAAAUUCUCGUGAGGGAUCAGAGGGAUGACAGAGUCAGAGUCCUCAUUGCUGAGUGGGAGGCAAAGCUGAAGAUCAAGGAAACAGAGAAUGUGAAGAUCAUCGCUGAGAGAGAUCAUUGUAUCGCCGAGAGGGAUCAUUACAUUGCUGAGAGAGAUCAUUACUUCAGGCAGAUGAAGAUUCACCAGAANNNNNNCCCUACUUGGUUUCGGGGUCCCCGUUGGAUAUGCGCUGGCCCUAUGGCAACUACUGUCUACUGUUCCUUUGUAUGGUGAUCCUUGUGUAUUCCGUUGAAUGGUAAGUGAGGAAUCUCCUUCUUUCUGUUAGUAUGGACAGAUCAGUCUGUCCUUUCCUAGAGAUGAAUCCGGUAGGCGGAGCAGCGAGAUAGGAGAAUGAGAUGUGGAUAGAUCAGUUGUCUCUCGCCUUUGCGGAGAGACAAACGGAAUUGGAGAUAGAUGAGUGUCGCUCGCGGCCCUAUUCUCUUUGUUACCCCUUUUUGCCUGGGCUUUGCAGCAUGAUGGCUAUCUAAUCAGGAGAUCAGACUAGUGAUGGGUGAGGCUUCUGAGUGAGGAUGGAAGUACAAUCAGGACAAGCGACAUGCCUGGUAACAAUAGGCUUGAGAUGGAUACUGUUCCCUACUAUGGGGCAAGGGUAAUUAGGUUUGUAUCUUCAACAAAGUGAGCACGACCAGACCAUCACCAAGAAGAUUGCUAGGGCUUUCAAAUGUCAUUUGCAAGACAGAAGAGAGGAAUUCUCCGUGAUCGGGAUCAGCAAGGAUGACAGAUCAGAGUCUCAUUGCUUGAGUGGGAGGCAAAGCUGAAGAUAAGGAAACUCAGGAAGAAUGUGGGUAAGUAUCCGCUGAGAGAGAUCUUGUAUCGGCGAGAGGGUAUCAUUACAUUGCUGACGAGAGAUCAUAUACUUCAGGCAGAUGACGAUUCACCAGAGGAGGUGGGGAGAUCCCCACCUGUGUUAUUCUUCAGUGUUGUGUUGUGUGAUGUUUGUUUUAGCAACCUUUUCUUUUUUUAGGCGUGGAAUCCGUCAAGGUACGACGGCGUGAAGGGGUGAAUACCUUACCCUUGCUAACCGACUCCCGAUCCCAUUCUCUUUGGUCGCGAGACCAUGCUUUUCCCAGGUUUACUUCGAGCGUUUCCUUUCCCUCUUUGGGAUAAAUAACGCACGGUGGCGGCUCUGUGUUGUGUUUUGUUUCAGCCCGCCGAUUGUUUUUCGCGGAUGCGACAUCAGCCUAGCAAUCUCUUCCUUCAAGUCCCUGUUUUCUUGCUCUAGAUGCUCCAUUAUCUUUGGAUGAUUGGCCCUGGUAUUGUACCGGUGCGUCAGCUUGUCUUUAAAAUAAAUGAAGAGCAAAGAGUUAGACCACUGAUCAAGAGCUCAGAACAAAACCUGAUUAUGCAUAUGAUGCAUGCAAUGUUUGUGCAUAUGGUUUGUUUUUAAUCAAAGGAACCUUUAUAGAUCUAUUUGCAAAUAUUUGAAAAUAUUUAACUUUUUAGACAUAUAUGGAAUACUCGUAAAAUAAUAUUUGGAAACUCUUUACACCAAAGAAGGAGUACAGUUUUGGUAACCAAAUACAAUACAAGAGAAAAGGAGAAUGAACAUCAUAUGGAGCCCUAGAAACAAUCGUCCAAAGCCUUCGAGAUCGGAAGAUAGGUUGCACGAAGCCUCUUCACCUCUCUCUCAUAAGUUGCUUCCAUAUCGGCCUUCUCCUUGGUAAGCUGACCAUACUUCCUCUUCCAGAACCUAGAUGAAUGAGGAAGAAGAGAAGUAACCACAUCAUCAGGCUCAUCGAUAACCUGAUGCUCUAGAAAUUCUAUCACUGCAUCCUUAUCUUUGAGCUGCUGAAGAAGUUCCUCUCGCUCACGAAUCCAAGCACGCGACCGAUCUUCAUCUCUCAACUCCUCUACUCCUUGAUUAGGGAGGGUUGAAGGCCCAACCAUAACCAUAGGGGUAGGUCUCGGAUAAUCGUACGGCAUGCGGUACUCAAGAGCUCUCUUCCUCACCCAAGAGGUGUAGGGUUCCAAAGCAAUACAAUUCUUCAGACCAAGCUCAUUCCUUCCCUUCCUAUGAACUUUGCGCCAAGCGCGAACCAUUCUAUCCUUCAAGUUCUGGGGAUCUUUACCCUCUUGAAAGAACACACCUUCCAACAAAACGUUGUUAGGUUUAUCCUUUAAGGGGAACCCAAGCUGACGGCGAGCCAAAACAGAGUUGUAGUUAAUUCCACCACAUGUACCAAGAAGAGGCACAUUGGAGAACUCACCACAAGAGUCAAUAAUCUGAACGCCAUCAUAAACACGGUUAUACCAAGAGAUAUCAUCAUUAGUGAGAGACAUAAGUCUCGUAGACCACCGUAGACAUCUCUUGUUCUCUUUGAAGGCAAGCAUCUGAGGCAAGUGCGAAAUAAACCACUUGUACAACAGAGGCAGACAACACACAAUGGAACCACCACCCUUUGCAUUCCUCAUAUGCAAAGAGAAAUAAGUGUCACCCGACAGAGUCGGAACGGGAUUAAGAGAAGAGAAAAUCCUAAUAGCGUUCACAUCCACAAAAUUGUCGAUGUUGGGAAAUAACACUAGCCCAUAGAUGAGGUGUACAAAUAUGGCUUCAAAAGCGUCCUCACUCAUGGCCUUCCCAAACAAAGUAGCUUUGGCAAUGAGAAAAUCAGACGAGAGACCUUGAAUUCCCCCUAAGGUAGUCAUAUUGGCAAUAAUGUCAGACACAUCCACAUGAAGCAUAUCAGCAAUCUCUUGAGAAGACGGAACCUUCUCUAAGCCACUGAACGGAAACUGAUCAAGAAUAGGUAUACCCACAUGAUAGGCAUACUCCUCAAGUGUAGGCAAAAGCUGGAAAUCCGAAAAAGUGAAGCACCGAUACAAAGGAUCGUAGAACUGCACCAACACACUCAUCAGACCUUCAUCCAACUUGGUAGAAAGAAUAGACAUAAGCUUCCCAUGGCGAGCUUUGAACUCCAAGGGCUCUAGUACAUAAGAUGCCAAACUCCUUAACUCUUUCAAGUCAGGUUGUCUGAAACUGUACUUCUUCGUAUUCCUUCUUUGCUUAUCCAUGUCUGAAAAUUUGCAAAUAGACCUCUUAAGUUCCUUGAAAACUUUUAUUGUUGAUGAUAUGGAUGCAUAUGAAUGCAUGAAUGCAUGGAUGCAACAAUCAUACUCAAGGAUCAAGCAAGUCACACCACACAAAGGUCACGGGAUGGCUCAAGUCAUUGUAAAUAUUAAUCAUCCAUUUUGGUGAAUUAUGGUUUACACCUUAUCAACACCCAAGUUCCAUUGAUAUUGAGAAUGUACGAGAACAGAUCAACCGCGAAUCAAGGGUUUGUUGUAAGUCACGAGCAUGGAGUCUCGGUUAAGAACCACCCAAUAGUCAUCAUCUCAUCUUUCGGAUAUUAUCAGAUAAAACGACUACUCGUCUUCCAAAAAUAUUCUCAGGAGAGACUCUUAUGAGUGUAGUAUCGCAUAACAAUCGUAUUAAAUCUUACACUUGAACGACUUUCGCACUACAUCCUAAAAUAGCCCAAGAUGGGUUAGGUAUCUAAGGUCCUUGGCUUCUAAGGUUUAUAUUGGAAAGAGUAAUGCCUAACCACGACUACUCGCGUGACAUUAUUGAUCCCAACAAGACCUCCACCAAGUGAAUGGGCUUACAAGUCAACUUGCUAAGGAAUAACUCCACACAAGUCAACAAGACUAUGCCAUUCUCCUAUCAUAAGUGCACUCGAGUUCAGGUAUAGAACUCAUCUCACAAGAAACCACCAAGCACACAAGCAAUUGGUAUAUCAAGAAAUUCAUACAUUACAAGCAAUACAGUCAUCCCAAAUUUGCACAGAAAUAUGUCACCAAUAUAAACAUACAACACACAUAAGCAAAAAGUAGGAUAAACCCACUAGAGAAACAACUACUUCCCCAGCAGAGUCGCCACUUUUCUGUAGCGGAGUUUUCGUUACCUUUAGGCUUAUUGACUAAACCAAAAGUAAACAUACAAUUCGAGUCGCCACCGCACUUUUAUUUGUCCAAAGGAAAGGCUAAAAAGCGAACAAAAGCCAAGUAAGAAGUUUUAUCAAAUCAAAAAACCGCACUUUUAUUUGUCCAAAGGAAAGGCUAAAAAGCGAACAAAAGCCAAGUAAGAAGUUUUAUCAAAUCAAAAACUAAUAAAAAUGUCAGAGAUCUAGGUAAGGGGGUUGGUUAUGAAAUAGGAAUGUUUUAUGCACCCAAAACAUCCUUAGUACUCUAAGGGAACCUCUUUUUGCAAACAUGUGUUAUAGGUUGGUAUUUGUGAAAAUACGUGCAAAAGAUUGGAGGGAUGAGAGAAGAAUGUAUUAUAUUUACAAUUUUGUUGUUUGAAUGGAUGAACCCAUUGCCUACGUACCAUCAUAAAGGUAGGAUCAAAACCUCGUAGUUCGGGGUAAAAAUCUCAAAAAUUGUUGAAUUGAUUUGAUCAAAAGCCUUAAGGUCUUUUAUUAUCAAAGGGAGAAAACUCAACCUAAACCAACAAUCCACCAUGUGAGGAGGGCUUCAACAUACUAGUGAGGGGUUAACCCUAUAAUAAGUAUGGAAGACUUAUAAUCCAAUCACUAAUGAUGAGGUGAGAUUUACAUCAACCAUUAUGAUAACUCAAACCUAUGACUAAUGUUUUUGAAAAGGUUUAACAAAGGUGGCCAUUGGAACCACAAAAAACAACUUGAAGUGAGUUAUACUUACAAGUUAGAUUUAUUUACAAAAUGAAGUCAAAGUUGAAUUAAGAUUUAUUCAUAAUAAGUAUUAAUGAAAAGAGUUUGAAAAAUCAAAGGCAUAAGGCCUAGGUUUCUAAUUUGAAACAAAUGUCAAAGUUUGAAGAAAUGAUUUUGGCUUAGGUUAGAGUGGGGAGAAGAAGAGAAGAGCUAGUCCUAAAGCAUACAAAGAUAAAAGAGAAAAGAUAAAACCCUUGGAGUUCCUCUUCUUGAAAUCAUAGAGAUGAUUCAAGAUGCUCCUUUCCUUUGGACUUAGCACACACAAGUAAUAACUCAAUUUAGAUUCAAGCUCCUAGGAUCUCCAUUUGGCUUGUCUCUCUUAACUUGACUACUCAUGACAAUGGUCCUCCUUACUAUCUCAAGAUGGAAUCCCUAUCACACAAGAGCAAACAUCAAAAAGUUCAUAACACAAUAAGAGGAAUAGACAAAGAUAGAGUUUUGGAAAGGAAGUCCUUUAAAGUCAACUUUGAGAUUAAGCAUUCUAAAGGCAUGAGGCCUAGUUGCUCUUCAACAAGUUUAGCAUUCUAAAGGCAUGAGGCCUAGUUGCUCUUGAACUCCUUUAAGCAUAGGUAAGUCCUAAUUCUAAGUCCUUUCUCAUUUUUGCAUUGGGUUCACACAAAACAAAGGCAAAACAACCACAAGACAACAAUAUAUAUAUAUAUAUAUAUAUAUAUAUAUAUAUANGAUCAAAGAAGGUUAAACCUCUCAUUUGUCAAGACUAACCAUAAGACAUUAACUCAUUGGCCAAAAUAAAAAGAAAUGGGAUGAAGAUGAAAUGAAUGAAAAGAGAAUUCAAGUAUCAAGUUCAAUUCGUCAAAAGUGAACCAAGUCAUCAUCAACCAAUGCUAAACAGAAGAAAAAUGAAGAUUACAAGUCAACAAGUCAAUCAUAUUUUUUUGUAUUUUUUGAAUUAAAAAUAAAUGCAAAAUAAAAUAAACAAAAUAUGGUCAAACCUUAAAUUUAAUUCAAAUCCACUUCAACAAGUCUAAUUAAAUUCUCAUAGAUCUAACAUGGUCAAACAAGCUUUGACAAAUUUUCUCAAUAAUUUUUGAAAUCAGAAACUAUUUAAAAACAAUUAAAAACAAUGAAAAAUAACAUAAUAUGAAUUAAAAUCUCAAAUAAAUCUCAAAUCAAAUAAGAAAUUGAUGAGACUAUUUUUCAUUGACUUAUCAUCAUCCAUAGGUGUUAGGAAAAUAUUUUUGGAUUUUUCAAAUAUCAAAAAGUAUUUUAAAAUGAAUUAAUACUAUUAAAAACCAAAUCAUUCACAAAAAAAUAUUAAAUGAAGUCACAAAAAUAAUUAAAAAUCAAAAUAUGAAACUAGAUUUUUCAAGAAUUUUUUUGGCAUUGGUCUCAUAUUUUUGUAACUUCAAAUAAAAUAUUUAUGAAUUUUUGAAAAUAAAAGGAAUUAACUGAAAUUAAAAGAAAAUAAGAAAAACAGGAAAAUCCAACGCCAUCAGAUCAUCUCAUUAAUUGACGUGGCAAUGAUCAGAUGGCUCUAAGACGCGGAUAUAUGAUAGACCUAAGUCAAGCGCGCUACACCUUGAAUUUAAAUGAGUCAACAUAAAGAAAGGCUAAGAUUAAAACAUUUCAGCAUGAUCCAAAGGCUGGGAGGCUACCACGUGAGGAUGGUGGUGGAAACCACCAUCUUCUCCAGCGAUCCAACAAGAUCUGGCCACCACGCGCAGGAAAUUAAAUGGCAAUGAAAAUGAAAAAUGAAGGCAUCAAAAUGAAGUUGAGGUGAUGUACAUCACCCCUAUAACCAUGGAUCAUCCUCAUAGUUCCUAUUUAGAGAGAAACAUGAGCUUGGAGAUCAUGGUGCAUGAACUGAAAUGGCACGAUUUGCAAAAUUAAGACCACCACUGGUCUGCCUCAUGCAUGAGGACUUCAGAAAACCACACAAACCAAAAAGAUUCACAUUAUAUUGCAAGAUCUAGAUCAAGAAAGUUUGAUGUUCUCCAAGCUCUUGAUCUACUUUUGCUCUGGAAAUGUGAUGGUGAUGCUAGGUUAAGGAAUUGAGCUUUGAAGAUCAACUAAUGAUGUUGAAAUUCAAGCUUGAAAGAGAAAUAGAAAACAGAAAAUUCCUUUGGUGAGGGUUUGUAUUUCAAUUCAGCAGCAAUUCAGAUCUCCACUUGGUUGCCACUUGAAUGAGAAUGCACUCUUAUUUAUAGCUGAAAUGUGAUGAGAAACAUGGUUCCCUCGUGUGCAUGAAAUUUGAAUCCUUCUUGCAUGGGCCUAUACAGGCACAUGUAAGGCCCAAUGAUGGGUGUAAAUCCUUGUUGAUGCCAUCUGAAAGUGAACUGGACGUGCAAUUGGAGUGGCAUUAGCUUGCACAUGAAGUUUUAAUGUGAAAUGCAAAAAUGAACCUAAAUAGAAAGCUCUUCAAAACUCCCACAUGGAAAGUCCAACAAAUUAUUGUGAGUAAUGGUUGGAAAGAUCUUGAAAUAAGGAACAAAAGUUAUGUUGGGAAAAAAUUCAUUUGGAGUUUGGGACUUAAUGAAAACUGGUUGUGAAGGUUUGGGUACAAAAUAUGUCUAAGUCUCCUUUGAAAAUUUUCACCAAAAGCAAGCAUCUUCAAGCCCUUCUGUUUCAAUGAUGCAAGCUUCAAAUGGAAAAACCUCCAACAUCAAAGUUAUAGAUAUUUUUAAUACGAUCAAUUUAGACUUAAAUGUUUUAUCAUUUUGAUUUUUCAUGAGAAAGUUAUAGGCACUUGAAGUUGGGCAUUUUUCAAAUCCAAUGACUUUGGUCCAAAGUGACCUAUAAUGUUUUGUAUUAUCACAUGUAUUUAUUUUAGGAUUAUGAAAUUUUGUCCAAUAUAAAAUUUGAAAUAUACCUCUUAAGACUUCCAAUGCAUUUCGUCUCACCUCAAAAUCAUAAAAAUUAAGGAAGUUAGGUCCUUGGGAAGUUGACCCAAAUUAGGGUUUCAGUCAAAAUGACCUAUAAUGUUUUGAAAUGAAUGAUGACCUUCCAAGUUUCAAAUUUAUUUUUGAUGAAAAUGAAAGUUGUUCAUAUGGUUCUUAAGAACAUUUUUCUCUUGGGUUAUCUUCGUUUGACAAACACAUCAAAAGUUGUAGCUCAGUGAUCUUCAGUUUAGUCAGAUGACUUGACUGGUCAACUUCUCAAGGCCAAACUUCAAACCUUGACGAAUGAAUGAUUGAGGAUCCUCAAAUAGGCACAUAUAUGCAUAAAAUAAUGAAUGAAAGAACUUCCCUUGAUUAAAUUUGAUCAUAGGUUGAGGUUGCUUCAUGAGCAAGGCACAGUCAAAGCACAGCUGAAUUAGGGUUUCCUUGGGAAACAAUCCUCAAGCCCUUUGGGUUAUCUUGAUAAAAUUGGAAAAUUGAGAUACUUGGGAGACAUAUAUGAUGAUUAGGAGCUUUUUGGACCAUUGUCAUGCUUGUUCUCAUCUUCAUCUAGCCACUUCAUUGAGCUUAGGAGCCUCCUAUGAGCAUGGGAGCACAUGAUCACUUGAGCUUCAAAACAAAAAGAGUUAGUGACAUAUUUUUAUGCUUUUGGUUAGUAAUCAAAAUAAGAAAGGCAAUAAUAUACAAUACAAGCAUGCUUGGUGGUCUCAAAACACUCACACAAGUCCCACCAUAGGGUUAAGGAGCCAAACAUGUUAUGAUCCUUGAGGCAAUGCAAUGAGCAAUGAUAUGAUGCCAUGAGGGAUCUUAGGGUCAAAAUUAGGGUCUUACACACAUCAGUUUACCAAAUGCACCAAGUUUCACCUAGUUAUUCUUUUACUAUGGCAGUAAAAAGUGAAAUUACACAACAGUCCAAAAAAAUAGGCAAGCAAGGUACAAGGGCACAAUUACUUUUUAUAGCCAAACACAUAUUUUGGCAAGCAUUGUUCAACAAUAAUACAAGUCCACGCACAAUUCCCCUUGCCUGAUCAUAACCCAGCAAUAAACCUUAAUUGUUCCUCUAUUUAAGCAUGGACUCAGAACCAAGCAGAGGGUUUUUUUGGAGCAUCAUAUUUUUGAGAGAAAAAUAGAAAACAUAGUUCUAAAAAUAGAUAGAGUAUAUAACAAACUUGAGUAUCAUUUUUUUCAUGUCAUGUUCUCUGGCGAAGGUAGACCCCGAACCAUCACUUACUUACAUUUUAGUUGCUUGCUUGUAAAGUUCGCCUAUGGGAGUGUUUCCCCUAAUGUUUUAGAGGCUUUCAAUCCAAACCUACCAUUUAAUUUCAUUUUUUCUAUUUUAGGGUUCAUACGAUUUUCUUUCGUUUCGGUCUAUUGAUUAGUUUUUGUUUAGAAUAAGUUUGGGGUUUGGAUUCAACGUGAUGAUAGGGUGAGUUUGGUAUUUUUCUUUUGGUGAUUUGAGCUUCGUCGCCGCAUGCAAUGAGCUUCGGCGCGGUGGAGAGGGAAACUUUGAAUUUGAAGAAUGAGGGAGUUGAUUCCCCCUUUCCCUGAGUGUUUAGUGGGCUUAGUUCCACUGGGCCUGUUUCCCACACUCCCUUUUUCGUUUCCUUCACCCCCAACCCAUUUAUCUCAUUUCCUUUUAUUUCUCUUUUUGAGUAUUUUCUUUUUAUAUAUAUUAUUGGGUGCAUUUAUAACUGUAAGACCCUAAUUUUGAUCCUAAGAUCCCUCAUGGCAUCAUAUCAUUGCUCAUUGCAUUGCCUUAAGGAUCAUAGCAUGUAUGACUCCUUAACCCUAGGGUUGGGACUUGUGUGAGUGGUUUGAGACCACCAAGCAUGCUUGUAUUAUAUAUUAUUUCUUUUCCUACUAACCAAAAGCACAAAAGUAUGUCACCAACUCUGUUUGUUUUGAAGCUCAAGUGAUCAUGUGCUCCCAUGCUCCUAGGAGGCUCCUAAGCUCAAUGAAGUGGCUAGAUGAAGAUGAGGGCAAGCAUGAAAAUGGUCCACAAAGCUCAUAAUCAUCAUAUAUGUCUCCCAAGUAUCCAAAUUUUCCAAUUUGAUCAAGAUAACCCAAAGGGCUUGAGAAUUGUUUCCCAAGGAAACCCUAACUCAACUGUGCUUUGAUUAUGUCUUGCUCAUGAAUCAACCUCAACCCAUGGUCAAAUUAAAUCAAGUUAAGUUCUUUAAUUCAUUAUUUUAUGCAUAUAUGAGCCUAUCUGAGGAUCCUCAAUCAUUCAUUCAUCAAGAUUUGAAGUUUGGCCUUGAGAAGUUGACCAGUCAAGUCAUCUGACUAAACUGAGGAUCACUAAGACAUAACUUUUGAUUUGUUUGUCAAAUGAAUAUGACACCAAGAGAAAAAAUGUUAUUACUAACAAUAUUAACAACUUUCAUGUUCAUCAAAAAUCCAUUUGAAACUUGGAAGGUCAUCAUUCAUUUCAAAACAUUAUAGGUCAUUUUGACUGAAACCCUAAUUUUGGGUCAACUUCCCAAGGACCUAACUUCCUUAAAUUUCAAAACAUUAUAGGUCAUUUUGACUGAAACCCUAAUUUUGGGUCAACUUCCCAAGGACCUAACUUCCUUAAUUUUUAUGAUUUUGAGGUGAUACCAAAUUCAUUGGAAAGAUUAAGAUGUCUAAUUAAAAUUUUAUGUUGGACAAAAUUUCAUAAUCCUAAAAUAAAUACAUGUGAUAAUACAAAACAUUAUAGGUCACUUUGGACCUAAGCCAUUGAAUUUGAAAAAUGUCCAACUUCAAGUGCCCAUAACUUUCUCAUGAAAAAUCCAAAUGAUGCAAAAUGUAAGUCUAAAUUGAUCAUCUUGAAAAUAUCUGAAACUUUUAUGUUGGAGGUUUUUCCGUUUGAGGCUUUCAUCAUUGAGACAGAAGGGCCUGAAAAUGCUUGAUUUUGGUAAAAAAAAUCAAAAGGAACCUAGACAUGUUUUGUACCCCAAACUUCACAGCCAAUUUUCAUAAAUUUCCAGACUCCAAAUGAAUUUUUUCCCAACACGACUUUUUUUCUUCAAUUCAAGGGCUUUCCAACCCUUACUCACAUUAAUUUUUUGGACUUUCCAUGAGUGAGUUUCGAAGAGCUUAAUGUUUAUGUGCAUUUUUGCAUUUCACUUUGUAACUUCAUGUGCAAGCAAAUGCAGCUCCAAUUACACGUCCAAUUCACUUACUUUUGAUCUCAGCGUGGAUUUCCCUUCACUUUUAGGCCUCACAUGCGCCUGUACAGGCCCAUGCAUGGAGGAUCCAAAAUUCACGCACACGAGGGAAGGCAUUGCUUUGCAUCCAUUCCAGCUAUAAAUAGAAGCUCAUACACCUGUACAGGCCCAUGCAUGGAGGAUCCAAAAUUCACGCACACGAGGGAAGGCAUUGCUUUGCAUCCAUUCCAGCUAUAAAUAGAAGCUCAUACUCAUUCAAAUGAUAACCACAAGGAGAUCUGAAACGCUGUUGGAUUAAAAACCAAACCCUCACCAAAGGAAUUUCAGUUUUUUCUAUUUCAUUUUCAAGCUUGAAUUUCAACAUCAUUAGUUGAAUUUCAAAGCAUAAUUCCUUAACCUUGCAUCACCAUCACACUUCCAGAUCAAAAUUGGAUCAAGAGCUUGGAUAAUUCGUGCUGUUUGAAGCUCCAUUUCAGAGGUAUAUCACCAAACUUUUUUGAUUCAGAUCUUGAAAUAUAAUGUGAAUUUCUUUGGUUUGUGUUUUUUCUGAAGUCCUCAAGCAUGAGGCCGGCCAGUGGUGGUUUUAAUUUUGCAAAUCGUGUCAUUUCAGAUCAAGCACCAUGAUCUUCAAGCUCAUGUUCCUCUUUAAAUAGGAACUUUGAGAAUGAUCCAUGGUUACAGGGGUGAUGUACAUCACCUCAGCUUCAUUUUGAUACCUUCCUUUUUCAUUUUUAUUAAGGAUUGAUUUCCUGUGCGUGGUGGCCGGAAUUGGUUGUCUGGGCGGAGAAGAUGGUGGUUUCCACCACCAUCCCCACGUGGGAGCUCCAGAGCCCUUGGAUCUUGAUAAAACGUCUUAAUUGUGGCCUUGUAUUAUGUUGACUUGUUUUAAAUACAUGUGUAACGCGCUUGACCAAGGAGUAUCAUGUGACCGCGCCUCUGAGCCUUAGGAUCAUUGUCACGUCAAUUAAUGAAAUGAUCCAGUGGCUGCGCAUUUUUGUUAUUUUCUGAUUUUUGUUUUAAUUUCAUUUAAUUCCUUUUAUUUUCAAAAAUUCAUAAAUAAUUUAUUUGAAGUCACAAAAAAAUGAGACCAAUGCCAAAACUUUUCUUGAAAAAUUUAGUUUCAUAUUUUGAUUUUUAAUUAAUUUUGUGACUUGAUUUAAUAUUUUUUGUGAAUUAUUUGGUUUUUAAUAGUUUUUAAUUCAUUUUAAUUACUUUUUUAUAUUUGAAAAAUCCAAAAAUAUUUUCUUAACACAUAUGGAUCAUGAUAAGUUAAUGAAAAACAGUCUCAUCAAUUUCUUAAUUGAUUUGAGAUUUAUUUGAGAUUUGAAAUCAUUUGUGUUAUUUUUCAUUGUUUUUAAUUGUUUUAAAAUAGUUUCUGAUUUCAAAAAUUAUUGAAAAAAUUUGUCAAAGCUUGUUUGACCAUGUUAGACCUGUGAGAAUUUAGUUGGACUUGUUCAAGUUGAUUUGAAUUAAAUUUGAGGUUUGACCAUAUUUUGUCCAUUUUAUUUUUGCAUUUAUUUUUAAUUCAAAAAUUCCAAAAAAAUAUGUUUGACUUGUUGACUUGUGAUCUUCAUUUCUCUUCUGUUUAGCAUUGGUUGAUGAUGAUUUGAUUCACUUUUGACCAAUUGUGUUUGAUAUUUGAUUUCUCUUUUCAUUCAUUUCAUCUUCAUCUCUUUCUUUUUUUAUUUUGGCCAAUGAGUUAAUGUCUUAUGGUUGGUCUUGACAAAUGAGAGGUUUAACCUUCUUUGAUCCAAAUCAAACUCAAAUUUGAUCCAAGAUCAAGUGAGUUGCUUUGUGUCCACGAUAGGUUGCUUCUUGGUCAAGCUCAGAAAGCUAUUAAAGGUAGUAUCUUGGCUGACCACUUGGCACAUCAACCAAUUGAAGAUUAUCAGUCUAUUCAGUAUAACUUCCCUGAUAAUGAGAUUAUGUAUUUGAAGAUGAAAGAUUGUGAUGAGCCUACACUUGAUGAAGGGACAAAGCCUGGUUCCCGAUGGGGCAUGGUGUUCGAUGGUGUUGUUAAUCAAUAUGGAAAUGGUAUUGGGGCAGUGAUUAUUACUCCUCAAGGCACACAUUUUCCUUUUACAGCAAGGCUAACUUUCAAAUGCACGAAUAAUAUGGCGGAAUAUGAGGCCUAUAUUAUGGGUUUGGAAGAGUGUAUUGAUCUUAGGAUCAAACAUCUUGAUGUUUAUGGUGAUUCGGCCCUUGUUGUUAAUCAGAUUAAGGGUGAAUGGGAAACGAAUCAGCCUGGCCUCAUCCCCAUACAGAGAUUAUGCGAGGAGGAUUUCAACUUUCUUUACUGAGGUUGACUUCCAUCAUAUUCCUCGAGAUGAGAAUCGGAUGGCAGAUGCACUUGCUACGCUUGCUUCAAUGAUUAUGGUGAAAUAUUGGAAUGAAGUCCCUCAUAUUACUGUGAUGCACUUGGAUAGACCAGCUCAUGUGUUUGUAGUUGAGGAAGUGAAAGAUGAUAAGCCAUGGUAUUAUGAUAUCAAGUGCUUUCUCCAAAGUCAGAUUUACCCGCCUGAGGCAUCUGUUAAAGAUAAGAAGAUUUUGAAGAGAUUAUCUGGCAGUUUCUACCUUAAUGGUGAUGUGCUUUAUAAGAGGAAUUUUGACAUGGUUCUACUCAGAUGCGUGGAUAGACACGAAGCAAACCUGUUGAUGACUGAAGUCCAUGAGGGUUCAUUUGGUACUCAUUCCAAUUGACAUGCCAUGGCAAAGAAGAUGUUGAGAGCAAGCUACUAUUGGCUGACAAUGGAGUCUGACUGCUGCAAAUAUGUGAAGAAAUGCCACAAGUGUCAAAUUUAUGUGGAUAAGAUUCAUAUUGCCCCGACACUUCUGAAUGUUAUUUCCUCACCAUUGCCUUUCUCCAUGUGGGGAAUUGACAUGAUUAGCAUGAUUGAGCCAAAGGCGUUGAACGAUCACCGUUUUAUUCUCGUAGCUAUUGAUUACUUCAUCAAGUGGGUUGAAGCGGCAUCGUAUGCAAAUGUGACCAGGCAGGUGGUUGUGAAGUUUAUGAAGAACCAGCUAAUAUGCCGAUAUGGUGUGCCAGACAAGAUCAUUACUGAUAAUGGAUCUAGCUUGAACAACAAGAUGAUGAAAGAGCUGUGUAGCGAGUUCAAGAUUGCACAUCAUAAUUCUUCUCCCUACAGACCCAAGAUGAAUGGGGAUGUUGAAGCUGCUAACAAGAACAUCAAGAAGAUUAUUCAUAAUAUGGUUAUUACGUACAAAGAUUGGCAUGAGAUGCUGCUAUUCGGCUUGCAUGGUUAUCAUACAUCUGUUCGCACUUCAACAGGGGCAACCCAUUUUUCUCUUGUGUAUGGCAUGGAGGUUGUGCUCCCCGUGGAGGUUGAGAUCCCAUCAGUGAGAGUCUUGAUGGAAGCCAAGUUGAUUGAGGCUGAAUGGGUUCAGAGUCGUUAUGACCAACUGAAUUUAAUUGAAGAGAAGAGAUUAACUGCCAUGUGUCAUGGUCAGUUGUAUCAACAAAGGAUGAAGAAAGCCUUUGAUAAGAAGGUCAAGCCUCGUGUGUUCAAAGAAUGUGACCUCGUGCUCAAGAAAGUCUUGUCUUUCAUGCCCGAUUCUAGGGGCAAGUGGACUUCAAACUAUAAAGGUCCAUAUGUUGUUAAGAGAGCCUUUUCAGGCGGUGUUUUGUUGCUUACAACUGUGGAUGGGGAGGAUUUUGAAGGUGAGAAAAACAAGAAAGGGGGGUUUGAAUUGUUUGAAAAAAAAAACUCCUUCUGCUCCCUAUUAUGACCUUAUUGUCCCUUUGGAGUCAGAUUCCUGAGUUGAGAUGUGCCUUUUGGUCCUCCUAGACGUUUCGGAUGAUUGUAUUCUUCCCCUUAUACGGUCUUAGAUUUCUUUCUCCUUGAGCAUGUUGUUCUCUCACCCAGUAAGCCGGUGGUUGACGAUAUGUCUCCCUUUUGAUUAUACCGGUAUCGGUAAUAUCUCGGUUUGUCUUCUCAGUGAAGUCCUUUUGGACAUCUCCCGUCGAGUCGGAUUUUUAUCUGAAGUAUCCUUGUGGAUAGUUGUUGUAUGGCAUAUCCCCAAUACAUGCAUCCUUGCGUCAGCUUGAGUCCUUUUCCAGUGAUUAAAUUCGUGAAACCCUUCGUUGUCUCCCACAAGUAAUCAGUCCGUGACUGCUCACGUGUUUUACCUUAUUUAAACCCCAGAGUCCUCUGUCUCAUUAGUGAGUGCAUACUCCUAUGAUUUUCAGUUACUCCGUCUUUCCUCGUGGCUUAUCACCUGAAGAUUUUAUUACAUACAUUUCAUCAUGAGGUCCUUAGGGACGCAAAAUCGUUUCUUUGUUAUUAUUAACGGCACAUUCUACUACCUCGUCGAAGACGGAGAUUUUAACCUUCAUACAUCCGGCUAGAAUGACCUUAAAAUAGGGCAUCUGUAAGACCCAAUUUUGACCCUAAGAUCCCUCCAUAGGCAUCCAUAUCAUUGCUCAUGUAUGUCUCAAGGAUCAUACAGUGUGGCUCUUAACCCUAGGGUUGGGACCUGUGUGAGGAUUGAGAACCACCAGCCAUGCUGUAUUUACAUUAAUGGCUUUUCCUUACUAACCAAAAGCAAAAACUAUGUCACUAACUCUGUUUGUUUUGAAGCUGCAAGUGACAGUUGCUCUCAUGCCCUAGGAGGCUAUAAAACUCUAAUGAAGUGGCUAGAUGAGAUGCAGGGCAAGCAUGACACUGGUCCACAAAGCACAAUUACAUACAUAUACGUCUCGUCAAAGUAUUCAAUUGCCAAUUGAUCAAGAUAACCAAAGGGCUUGAGGAUGUGUUUCCCAAGGAAACCCUAACUCAAUUGGCUUUGACUGUGCCUUGCUCAUGAAGCACCUAAACCAGAUCAAUUAAUCAAGGGAAGUCUUCAUUCAUUAUUUAGCACAUAAUGAGCCAUUUGAGGACCUCAAUCAAUUCAUCCAUCAAAGAUUGAAGUGGCCUUCAGAAGUUGACCAGUCAAAGUCAUCUGACUAAAACUGAGGAUCACUGAGAUAUACCUUAAGAUUUGUUGUCCAAAUGAAGAUUACCGAGAGAAAAUGUUAUUUAAGACCAUAUGAAAAACUUUAAAUGUUCAUCAAAAUCCAUUUGAAAAUUGGAAGGUCAUAUACAUUUCAAAACAUCAUAGGUCAUUUUGAAUGAAACCUAAUUUUGGGUCAACUUCCCCAAGGACCUAACCCUUAAUUUUUAUGAUUUUGAGGUGAGACCAAAUGAAUUGGAAAUCUUAAUAUGUAACUUCAGAUGUUUAUGUUGGACAAAAAUUUCAAUAAUCUAAAAAUAAAUACAGUGUAAUACAAAACAUUAUAGGUCACUUGGAGCUAACCAUUGAAUUUUGAAAAAUGUCCAACUUCAAGGCCAUAACUUCUCAUGAAAAAUCAUGCCAAAUGAUGCGAAAUGUCAGUCUACUAAAUUGAUCAUCUUGAACAUAGUACAACUUUAAUGUUGGCAGUUUUCCAUUUGAGGCUUGCAUCAUUGAAAGCAGAAGGGCCUGAAAAAUGCUGAUUUUGGUAAAAAAACAAAUGGAACCUAGACAUGUUUUUGUACCAAACUCACAGCAAUUUCAAUCCAAACUCCAAAUGAAUCUGCCAACAUGACUUUUGUCCUCGUUUCAAGGAUUUCCAACCAAUUACUCAAUUUUUUUUGCGACUUCAUCAGAGUGAGUUUCCGAAGAGCUUAAUGUUAUGUGCUUUUGCAUUUCACUUUGUAAGCUCAUUGCAAGCCAAAUGCAAGCUCCCAAAUUACACGUCCCAAUUCACUAUCAACUUUCUGCAUCUCAGCAGUGGAUGUUCCUCACUGUUAGGCUGCACAUGCGGCCGGUACAGGCCCAUGCAUGGCAGAUCCAAAAUUCAUGCACGACGAGGGAAGGCCAUCGCUUUGCAUCCACUUCCAGCUAUAAAUAGAAGCUCAAUACUCAUUCAAAUGAUACACAACGGAGACUCUGAAAUGCUGCUCGGAUUGACACAAACCAAACCCUCACCAAGAAUUCGUUUUUUCUAUUUCAUUUUCAAGCUUGAAGUUUCAACAUCAUUCCAGUUGAACUUUCAAACAUAAUUCCCUUAACUUCAUCACUAUCACAAACUUCAGACCAAAAUUGGACUCAAGAGCUUACUAACUUCGUGUGUUUGAAGCUCCAUUUCAGAGGUAUAGUCACCAAACUUUUUGAAUUCAAGAUCUUGAAUAUCAAUGAUGAAUUUUUUGGUUUGGUUGUUUUCUGAAGGUCUCAAGCAUGAGGCCCACACACCCGCAGUGGUGGUCUUAAAUUUUGCAAAUCGUGGUCAUUUCAGACUCAAGCACCAUGAUCUUCAAGCUCAUGUCUCUUUAAACAGAACUUAUGGAGAAAUGAUGCCAUGGUUACAGGGGUGAUGUACAUCACCUCAGCUUCAUUUGAAUACCUUCCUCUUUUCACUUUUCUUAUGGUCUGAUUUCCCGCUGUCGGGUGGCCCCGGAAUUGGUUGUUGGCGGAGAAAGAUGGUGGUUGUUCGCACCACCAUCCCCACGUGGAGCUCGCAGAGCCCUGGAGUCUUGAGUAAACGUUUAAUCUGUGGCCUUGUAUUAUGUUGACUUGUUUUAAAUCAAUGUGGUAACGCGCUGAUGACCAAGGAAGUAUAUGUGACCGCCCCCGGCCGCCUCUAGAGCAUCCUAGGCAUACUGUGAGUAUAAUAAUGAUCGGUGCUCAGAUGUUUUGUAAUUUCUUUAUUUUAUUUCAUAAUUCCUUAUUUUCAAAAAAUUCAUAAAUAUUAUUUGAAACAAAAAUAGAGAACCAAUGCCAAAAAAUUCUUGAAAAAAUUAGCUUUCAUCAUUUUGAUUUUAUAAUUAAUUUUUGUGACGUUGAUUUAAUAUUUUGUGAAUUAGUUCUGGUUUUUAAAGUUUUUAAUUCAUUUUAAUUAUCUUUUUUGAUAUUUGAAAAAUCCAAGAAAUAUUUUCUUGAACACAUAUGGAUCAUGAUCAGUAAUGAAAAACAUCUCACAAAUCAUUCUUAAUCUGAUUUGAGAUUUAAUUUGAGAAUUUUGAAUCAUUUGUGUAUUUUUCAUUGUUUUUUAUUGUUUUAAAAAUAGUUUCUGAAUUUCAAAAAUAUUGAAAUAUUUGUCAAAGCUGCUUUGAACCAUCGUUAGACCUAUGCAGAAUUAAGUUGGACUUGGUUCAAGUUGGAGAUUUGAAAUUAAAUUUGAGGUUUGACCAUAUUUGGUCUAUUUAUUUUGCAUUAAUUUUUAAUUCAAAAUCCAAAAAGAUAUGUUGACCUUGUUGACAAUUGUGAUCUUCAAUUCUCUUUCUGUUUAGCAUUGGUUGAUGAUGAAUUUUGAUUCACUUUGACCAAUUUGUUUGGAUAUUUGAUUUCUCUUUUCAUUCACUUUCAUCUUCAUCUCUUUCUUUUUUUUGGCCAAUGAGUUAGAUGUCUUAUGGUUGGUCUGACAAUGAGAGGUUUAACCUUCUUGAUCCAAAUCAAACUCAAAUUUGAUCCAAGAUCAAGUGAGUUGCAUUGUGUCCAAGAUAGGUUGCUUCUUGGUCAAGCAAAAAACCUAACGUCCAUACAAGGCCUUCUCUUUCUUUGCAUGGCAAGUCGUAGGAAGCUUGGCUUACUAGUCAUUGAUCUCUAAACUUGGUUUAUUUCCCAUAAGUUUAUGAACCGCCUCAAAGAAUAGGUGUGACUACUUCAUAGUUCAACUACGAUUGCUUAACAUAGCGCUAAAUGUCUUAGACAAACUUAACAUAACCAUACUAUUACAACCUUAAUUUGAGCAUUAAUUUCUGGCAAUUUACUUUAUGAAUUUAGCUUCUUGCCAUUAUCAUUGCUUUUUCAUUUGCUACGAACAGCAUAUUUUAUGUUUAUCAAUUUUCCUUUGCUCAUUUGAGCCAUUAUUGUAUAAAAUAUAUUGUUUCUUGAUGUUUUUCUUUGUUUUGUGUGAACCUAAACAUGCAAAAGGAAGAAAGGACUUAGAAUUAGGACUUACCUAUGCUAAAGAAAGUUCAGAGUAACUAAGGCCUCAUGCUAGAAAUGCUAAACUUGUUGAAGAGCAACUAGCUUCCAUGCCUUUAGAAUGCAAAAUUUCAAAGUACUUCAAAGGACUUCCUUUCCAAAGCUCAUUCUUUGUCCAUUCCUCUUAUUGGUGUGAACUUUUUGAUGUUUGUCUUGUGUGGAAGGAUUCCAUCUUGAGAUAGUAAGAAGACCAUGUCAUGAAUAGCCCAGUAAGAGGACAAAGCCAAAAUGGAAUCCUAGGAGGUUGAUCCAAAAUAUUGUUGAUUGCGUAUUGUUGCUAAGUCCAAAGAAUAAGGAUCCUUGAAUUAAUCUUUAUGAUCCAAGAAAAGAACUCUAAGGUUAUCUCUUUCUCUAUCUUGAUGCUUUAAGGACAGCCCUUCUCUUCUCUCCUCACUCUAACCCAAGCAAACCUUUUUUGUGUCAAAACCUUUGACUUUGUUUCAAAUUAAGAAAACCUAUGGCGUUAUGCCUUGACUUUUCAAAAUCUUUCCAUUAAUACUCAUGUGAAUAAAUCUAAUUCAAUUUGACGCUCAUUUUGUAAAAAAUCUAACUUGUAAAUACAACCAUUCAAGUGAUUUGUUGCCAAUGCACCUUUGUUAAACCUUUUAUAAACAUAGUCAUAGGUUUGAGUUAUCAUAAGUGUUGGUAAAACGUCACCUAAUCCUUAUGAUUGGAUAUAAAGUCCUCAUACUUAUUAUAGGGUUAAUCCUCACUAGAUUGAAGCUCUCUCACAUGGGAUGAUGGUUUAGGUUGAGUUUCUGCCCUUUGAUAACCAAAAGACCUUAAGCUUUGACAAAUCAAAUCAUCAAAUCUUUGAAUUUUUACCGCCGAACUAGGAGGUUUUGAUCUACCGUGGUGAUGGUACGUAAGGCAAUGGGUUAUCCAUUCAAACAAAAAUUUUAAAUAUAAAUAUUCUUCUCGACCCCCUCAUCCCCCAAUCUUUUGACAUAUUUUCAUAAAUCACAACCUACAACACAUAUUUCAAAAGAGGUCCCUUAGAGACUAAGGAUGUCUGGGGUGCGUAAACCUCCCAUUUCAUAACCAAACGCCCCUUACUUGAGAUAUCUCUCUCUGAUAUUUAUUAGUUUUUGAUUUGUAAAACUUCUUACUUGGCUUUGUUCCGCUUUUAGCCUUUCCUUGGACCAAAUAAAAGUGGCGGUGAACGACAUCGAAUUAUAGGUUUACUUUGUUGUAGUCAAUAAGCCUAAAAGUAACGAAUACCCCGCACAAAAGUGGGACCUGCGGGAAAUCUAAUGUUCCUAGUGGGUUCAGCCUACUUUUGCUUGUAUGUGUUUAUGUUAAUUUAUUUAGUCAUAUUUUUGUGGCAAAUUGGAUGACUGUAUUAAAUUGUAAUUAUGAAUGUUUUGAUACUAAUUGGCUUCGUGUGCUUGGUGGUCUCCUUGGUGAGAUGAGUUCUAAUACCGACUCGAGUCACUUAUGAUAGGAGAAUGGCAAGUCUUGUUGACUUGUGUGGAGUUUAUCCUUCAGACAAGUUGACUUCAAGCAUAUUCACUUGUGAGGGUCUUGGGAUCAAUAAUGUCACUACAGAGUAAUCAUGGUUAGGCAUUACUCUUUCUCAAUAUAAACCUUAAAGCGCAAGGACCUUAACUACGCUAACCCAUCUUGGCCUAUUUUUAGGCAACGAGUGCGAAGGUCGUCAAGUGUACGAUUUGAUACGAUGUUACGUGGAAUACUACACUCAUAAGAGUCUCUCUUUGAUGCAAUUUUGGAAUACGAGUAGUGUUUACCGAAUAUAUCUGAAAGAUGAAUGAGGACUAUGGACCUUUUUAGACAUAUGUCAGGUUUAAACCAUAGUACACUCCUUGGGGUUCUUUAACCGAGACUCCAUGCUCGUGACUACAAUAAACCCUUGAUUGCGUUGAUCCGUUCUCAUAUAUCCUCAAUAUCAAUAGGAAUUGGUUGAUAAGGUGUACCCAUGAAUCCAACCAAAGGGAGGAUGAUUGAGAUAACGGAGCCAUCCCGUGACUUUGUGUGGUGUACUUCGGCUUGAUCCUUGAGUGUGAUUGUUGCAUCCAUUGCAUUCAUGCAUUCAUGCAUUCAUUCAUCCAUAUCACACAAAUAAAGAAUUUCAAGGAAACUUAAGAGUCAUUUGCAAAUUUCAGACAUGAAUAACAAGAAGAAUACAAGAAUACAGUUUCAGACAACUCACUUAAAGAAUAGAGUUUGACAUCUAGUAUAGAGCCCUUGGAGGUUCAAAGCCGCCAUGGAAAGCUCUGUCAUUCUUUCUACGCAAGGUGGAUGAAGGUUUGAUGAGUGUGGUUGGUAGCAGGUUCUAUUGGAAAUCCUUUGUAUCGAUCUUAUUUUUUCCCGAUUUCCACUUUCCAUCAUGGGGAUAUCUAUCUUGGAUCAGUGCGUUCAGUGGUUGGAGAGCGAUCCUCUUCCAAAAUUGCUAAUAUCUUCACAUAAUACUAUAUUGUUGGGGCCUAGACUACCAAAGGGAAUUCAAGGCCCCAUCAGAUUCUCAUGCCCAAGUACUUUGUUUGAAGCCAUGAGUGAGCGCCUUGAAGCCGAUGUGCUCUCAUCUAGGCGUGUUAACGCACAUCGACAAUUGUGGAUUGAACGCUAUUAGGAUUUUCUCUUCUCUUAACCCGUUUCACUCUGUGGGUGACACUUAUUUCUCUUUGCAUAUGAGAAUCAAAGGGGUGGUCCAUUGUGUGUUGUUUGUCUUGUUGCUAAAAGUGUUUAUUUCGCACUUGCCUCAGACGCUCGCCUCAAGGAGAACAAGGAUUCUACGGGUCUUGUGAACUCAGUCUUUACUAAUGAUGAACCUUGGUAUAACGUGUUAUGAUGCGUCAGAUUAUGCUCUUGUGGUGAUUCUCACAAUGGCCUCUUCUCGGUACAUGUGGUGGAAUUAACUACAACCGCUGUUUGCUCGCCGCAGCUGGGUUCCCCUUAAAAGAUAAACCUAACAAAUUUUGUAGAAGGGUGUCUUUCAAGAAGUAAAGAUCCCCAGAAAUUGAAGGAGAUGCCCGCGCCUGGCGCAAAGUUCAAUAGGAAGGGCAAGGAAGGAGCUAGGGCCGAAGAAUUGUAUGCUUUGGAACCCUAACCCGGGGUGAGGAAGAGAGCUCUUAAGUACUGAUCUCGUAUGAUAUCCAAGACCGUACCCCUAUGGUUAUGGUUGGCCUUCAACCCUCCCUAACCAAGGAGUAAGAGAGUGAGAGAUGAAAGACCGAUCGCGUGCUGUUCUGAGGAGAGGUAACAACUCAGCACCCCAGAGAUAAGGAUCAAUGAAGAAUUUAGAGCAUCAGGUAUUGAGAGCCUGAUGUGUGGUACUUUCUUCUUCCUUACUCAUCCAGUUGAGAGAAAUAUGAUCAGCUCGCCUAGAGAACUAUAUGGAACAGCUUAGAGAGAGAGGUGAAAGGCUCAUCAGCUAUCUUCCGAUUUCGACGGCUUUGACAUUGUUUUUAGGGCUUCAAUAGGAUUUAUCCCUUUUCUCUUGUAUGAUUGUACCAAAACUGUCUACUUCUUUGGUUAAAAGUUUCCAAAUAUUAUCGCUAUGACAUCCAAUAAUGUCUAAAAUAUUAAUAUUUCAAGUAUUGUAAAUAGACCUCUAAAAUUCCCAAAUAAAAACAAAUCAUACGCACAAACAUUGCAUGCAUCAUAUCAUAAGAAGUUGUGUUUCUGAGCUCUUGAUUAGUGGUCUAACUCUGUCUUCAUUUAUUGAAGACAAUUGACGCACCGUAUAAACGCAGAGCCAAUCAUCCAAGAUAAUGGAGCAUUUAGAGCAAGCAGAACCGGGAAUGAAAGAAGAGAUUGCGCUGACUGCCAUGAUGGAUCAGUUUGGCCGCCCAAAGCCAAGCUUCGCCGACUCCUGCAACUCCUCCCGCGAGGACUGUUAUAUCAGCGAUAGCUGACAGCUUGCUGUGCAACCCACUGCGCCAUCUAUGUCAGCGGUUCCCUGGGGAAUGCUGCUAACUUGUGGCCAGAAGGUUGCUCCUACUCUCGCUCUCUACUACGCCAUCUACCCAGUCUUAUCUGUGUCACCUCUCAUUAGCAACCCUACCCCGUGUUGAAGACACCCAUCUAUUCAUCGAGCGCAUCGAGGGCCCGGAUGGUUAUGAGAAGAUGGAUGAAAUAAAGACUAAUCAUUAGCUGCGCAAGGAACUGAAGCUCAAGGGGAAGACCUCUUGGUAAAAGUGCUCGAUGUGCCUAUGCCCAACGUGAAGAUCCCUGUUAUGUUAAUUCAUAAGGCAAGACGUGAGAAGUACAAGGAAACACCAUCCCGCUCAGCAUCUUGUAUUAUGCUCAACAGAUGUCAACCACAACUGAUAACGACCAAACUGCUUAUUCCAUUACUUCCAGGAAACCCAUUAGGGCGCGCUCGGUGGUAUAUGGGCCUGGAGCAGUGUUAGCAAUCGCGCUCUUUCAACGAUUAAGGAAGGCCUUCAUCAAGCAGUAUAAAAUAAUGGAUAUGGCUCCGGAUAGGGAAUAGUAGGGAAAUGUCGCAGAAGGACCAAAAGAGACCCUCAAAGACGCCUAAGAGAUGCGAGACGCUGCAGCUCAGAAAGUGCCACCCUAAAGAGAAGAGAUGACCAAAAUAUUUGAAGACUUUGCGCUCUUCUAUAUAAAGAAUGAUAACAGCUGCCCCUCAGACUUCACCGAAAUGGUGAACAUGGGAAUAAGAUUGGAAAGGGGGUCCGUGAAGGACGUUUCUAGGGAGAUGUUCCUCAGCAAAGAGGUAUGGGGGCUUGCUAAGAAGAAGGAAGAGAGUACAUUUGUGUCUCCCAUAUAAAAGAGGCCUCUAUGAGGAGGAAGGACGUGCGGCCCUGCCGUCACCAACCACCAGGUGGCUCACAUACCAUGCUUUUCGAGAAAUUCCAUCACAAACACAACCACAACACGUCACAACAACAAGCCUACCAGCCUCGAAACAAUAAUAACACCAGCACCAGCAACACGAGAGGAAAGGGUAACUUACACCGAUCCGAUGACUUAUGCUGACUGUAAUCCCUCCUUAAUUGAUAAGGAAGUUGAUAACCUAGGCGAGAAUUGUUCUCGUACCGACCAACCCUCAGUGGUGGAUAACCGAAGCCCCGAGCCUUCACGUUAUACAUUCCAGUGCUCCCGAAUGACGUGGAAACCGUACCCAUGAAGAAAGAUGCAAGACCUUGUGAGAAUGUAUUUGUUUUUGAGGAGGCCAAUGUAGAAGACCCCAUUGCUCAGCCAUGGAAUGUGUAACAUGGUCCAGGUGCCUUGGCAAAUAUAAAGUCCUGUAUGUUAAUGACAUAAGGCAAUCUUUGGUCCGAGAUGCACAAUGUUGUGUGAACACAACCACUACGAGCAUGAACCAUAUAGGUGCCAGGUGCACUAUCAUGAAAGAGGAUACGAAAUAGAAAGGACAUCCAAGAGAUACUGAUCAGGGAAUGAGUGAAAUUACUUCAGAAUCGCAAUGAGGACGAAGUUGAGUUACUCCCUGAUUAGAAUCCCUGAAGACCUGUUGUUUCGAGUAUGAUGGCAGCAAGAAGAAUAUCACCAAGCUUGGAUAAGCCAUCAGGCAUGUCCCGUAGUAUCGGAACAAGACUGUUCCCUAACAAGAAUAACGCACCAUGCAGAAGAUGGGAAAGUCGUCCCCUCCAACCUCUGUUGAAAGCAUCUGAGUCAUGGGUGACCCGUAUGGUCCGUGUUUCUCGGCCCCGCCGAACCCAUGAAGAUGUCAUGAGGAGAACUGUUGUUAAUCAUGCCGGUCCGUGGGGACUCUUCUGCAAAAAUGUUCCUCUGUGACCCUGUUGCUGUAAAUCCCAAUAACACUCAUAUCCUAGUUGGCCACUGGCAUAUUUGAAAGAGGAUGGAUAGAUGCAAGGCCAAUCAAAAGGAGUGAAUAAAUGUUGUGAUCAGCUGCUACAAACACAUCAAAGAUAUCUGUAAUGAUCUUGUUGAUGAUUCUGAAGCCAGCACCGCGAACUUUGGCAGAGGGGUAGACGUGGCAACUGGAUCACGAUGUCACAAUGAGCAGUUUGAUAGCAUUGUUCGCAAUAAACCGCUUGCAACACUUGAGUUCUGUGAUGCUGAUCUUCUCGAGGAGGGAAAAGACCAGCAAUGGCGCUAAACAUUUCACUGAACGUAAAGGAAUGAAGGCCUGUCCAAUGUGUUGGCACAGGAUCAUUACUAAUGUGUUUGCCAAAAAUCCACUCUUGCUAAACUUCUUACCAGGGGCCUCCGAGAGGCAUAGUGAGUGUGAAGGCUUGAUGGAUGCAAAAACCGUGAUCGGUGAAUAGAACUCCCGAUCAAGAUUGGACCUAGUAUUUCAUAUCACUUCCAGGCCAUGGAUAUUCAUUCAUCUUAUCACUGUUUGCUUGGAGACCAUGGACCACGAUGCCAGCGUCGUGACAUCCACCCUACACCAAAAGUUGAAUUUUGAAAACAGAAGUUGGUGGUGAUAAGGGGAGAAGAAGCUCUCUGGCAUCCAUUAAUCCUUUCCUAUAUGACGCGAGGAGAGGUUGGACUCCGUUCGCAAGCCUUGUCUAUGUGAGCUCAAGGAAAUGACUUCUUCAUUUGUCUCCUAUGAACACGCGAAGUUGCCAUUGACAUGGUGCAAAUACUGGUUAGGGCCAAAUAUCAAGUUGGAGGAUAACAAAUCCGAUAUGGCAAUAGGUAUUCUUCUGGUAUUCCAAUGAGUGGUGGUAUUCCAGAGUGGAGGUUUUAUCCACACAGUUGAAGAUCAAGGAAGCGAUCAUUGUUGAAGAUGAAAGAGAAGAUCUUGGAAACUGUCCAUACCUGGCGGAAUCUCAAUAAUUGGGUCGCGUGAUGUUCCACAGUUAUCCAUAAUCAACGUAAUGUGUCAUUUGUUGAAAACCCUUCCCCAUGGCAAAAGAGAAGUAUGACAUUGCUGCCAUAAUUAUUAAUACAAUGAUAUUCAUUCAAUAAUCAACAUGUAAAUGUUUAUUUCCAAAUUAUUUCCUUUUGCUUUGCAUGACAUGGUGAUCACCAUAAAACCCUAAAAAGAGAAUAAAAUUAAUCUUUUCAUCUGGCAUAAAUGAUUUGCCUUGCUGAAUAUGAAAAUCUUAUACCAAAAUCAUUAGCAGGUAAUCAAACAAUUGAACAAUGACCAACACCAUCUCCCACUGAGUUCGCCUUUGUAAUUUGAGGCAGAAGAAGAUGAGUUGAAGAAGAUUGCUGAUGAAAUUACCGUCUGUCUGAGCACCGAGGAAAGAUUCAUUCAGCCGCAUCUUGAGAAUCUGACAACACCUUGGGGUCCUGAAGACUGUGUUCGUGAAAAUAUUCGGGGCACUCCUGAAGAGUCUAUGAGAAAGGUUGAUCGAGUUGCCUAUGAAAAUGUCGACGUCUUUGCCUGGUCGUAUGAAAACAUGCCUAGCUUAGAUACUGAUAUUGUGGCAACCAUUUCCUACCAUGAAGCCUGAAGUCGUGUGCUAUCCAAAAGCAGAAGCUCAGAAGAACUCAUCCAAUAUAGCAGUGAAGAUAAAAGAGAAGUUCAGAAGCAAAUUGAUAGGGUUUCUGGUAACUACAUAUCCUCUAUGUGCCAAUAUUGUGCUGUCCUAAGAAAAUGGAAAAGUCCAAAUGUGUGUGGAACCUGACUUGAAUAAACUAGUCCCGAAAGAUGAUUUUCCUCUACACACAUUGAUAUGUUGGUAGACAUACUAAAUUCAAUGUCGUCUCAUUUUUAUGAUGGAAUUUCCGUUACAACCAGAUAAAAUGGCACACGAGAUAUGGAGAAAGACAACACAUCACACAUUGGGGAACACUGUUUCGAGUGAGAUGCCGCUUGUUGAAGAACGCCGGAGCACACGAUCAAUGCGCUAUGAACUACCUGUUUCAUGAUAUGAUGAAUAAGCGAGACUGAGUUAGUUGAUGAUAUGAGCAAAUUCGAAAACGGAAGUCUGAACAUGUAAGACACUUGUUUGAAGCUUUUUCCAGCGUUUGAGGAAGUAAAACCCUGCGAACAAGUGUACAUUGGAGUCGCGUCCGGAAGUUAUGGGCCUAUAUGCAGUGAAAGAGGUAAUUGAAGUGAUCAAUGCCAAGCGUCAAAGCAAUAACAGAGUUGCCUGCGCCAAAACUGAGAACAAGUCCGAGGUUCUUGCCUUGAAUUACAUUUCGAGAUUUAUAUCCACAUGACUGCCACAUGUCGCACUAUAUAAGCUCGCUCGCAGAAAAAUCAGCGUCAUGAUUGGACCGGGAUUCCAGAAAGGCCUUUGAUAGUACAAAGAGUGUUUGUCUGGCCUCCGCGAUUUUGUCUCGGCGCCGAUGUUGAAGGGAGACCCUUGAUGAUGUAUGUGACUGUGCUUGAUGAUUCCACGGUUGUGUUGGGUAGCAAGAUGUAAUCAGGAAAAGAAAGAGAUGCAAAUAUACUACUUGACAAGAGUUUCACUGAAUUUUUGAGUCUCGUACCAAUGCUUGAGAAACAUGAGGCUUUGGCUUUGGGCUGCUAAGCGCUUACACCAGUAUAUCUGAAGUCAUAUCGAUUGGUUGAUCCCAAAAUGGAUCCAUCAAGUAUAUCUUGUAGAAGCCUGCUUUAAAUUGGGAGGAUUCCCUGGCAAGAUUUUUAUCUGAGUAUGAUAUGAGUACGAGCUCCAGAAAGCUUAUUAAAGGUAAGUUAUCUGGCUGACCACUUUGGCACAAUCAAACCCAAUUGAAGAUUAUCAGUUCUAUCAGUAUAACUUCCCAAAAAAUGAGAUAUUAUGUGAAGAUGAAAGAUGUGAGAGCCUACGGAUAUAUAUAUAUAUAUAUAUCCCGCUAGAUUGAGUACCUCACCCUGGGGCAAUCUAGGCAAAAAUUAGGGAUUUGGCAAGUAAUUGCAUCCUGACAAGACUUUGUUCUUCAACUGUCAUCUAUCAAAUAUUCUCGCUCAGUUGUCAUCAACUGAAGCUUCAAAUACAUUGGAUUCAGAGUUGGUGGAGAAAUGGUCAUUAUGUUCAAUGUAGCCCUUUUUUCCCAAUAUAUAUCACCAAUUUCAAAUUUAUAAAGAUCCAUGGAGUCUCGCCAUUUGCGGGCUACCAUUCUAUUAAAUAAAUUCGAGCCUUUAUACAAUUCUUUGCACUCUUAUUUUGUUUCUUUGUGACAAAUGUUUGCAUGUUUUAAUUGAUAAAUAUCAUUGUUUUAAACGAAUAAAGUUUUUAUAAAACUGUUUUAAACAAAGUGAACAUUCGCGAUGACUAAAAGGAUAGUUGGAAUGUCUUCAGUGCUCUCCCAAGGAUAGUACGAUUUCCAAAAGGGUAGGAUAUUUGUUCAUUUUCUGGCAUUCUUAUAUCCUCUCCAUCAGCUUUCAAGUUGUCUCCUCAGCGAGCGCAGAAGAGUGAUACAUCGUCAGCUUCCCAAAGAAUUUGACGCUAGCAUUUGUGUUUUAUCAAUUAUAUGAUUGUCAUCCCUUGUGUGGACUGACCUAAAAUCCCUUAUAGAUUGAUAAAAGUUAGUAUGCUAUCUAUUCAUGAGGAAGUUUGUCUUUCCCCAGUAUGAGUAGAAGUCCUCUGCGGAGUAAGCAUGUGUUCCCUGCAUAGCUGCCUUUCCAGAUAAGUUGUUUCCUCAGCAGGAAGUUUGUCCAGGGAAGUUGGUGAAGGGCUUGAGUCCCUUUUCAUCCCCAGCAUGGCGCUUGUUGAUGAAGGAUUCGUUUACGUUUCCCUCAGUCAGGACAGUUCCUUCGGGAGUACUAGCAAUUUAUCCCCAAUAUGGUCGCCUACAGUCCAUCCCUAGUAGGAUUGCCCAAUCCGAGCUUGAUAGUUUGUAUCCCCUUCGUGGUUGAAAAUCUCUUCCAGUAUUGGACGGUGAUGAGGAAGAUGUGUUAUUUCCUUCCCAGCGGAGCAAUUGUUCUUCCUCCCCUUAGCAGAGAUGUCUCUCCAGCAGUUAGAAGGGAGUGCUUGAUUGAUGUGUAUAUAUUUGGUGGGUGUUCCUCACAGAAUUUCACAUCAUCCCUUGUUAAGAUCCCCAGUAGAGUUUCUUCUAUGAUAGAUCUUAUUGGUAUCCAACCACCUGUUCCCGUGAAAUGAUGAAGGAUCCCCGACAGUUGGUAGCUGUGACCUUUGCCUAUCCCCAGCGGUGAUCUAUGUCUCCUGGUAUUAGAUCCUCCCCACCAGAGAUGAGCUCUCUUGUGGGGCCUGACCUUUCUCUUUUUGAAGAUGUUAUACCGGAUGUCCGUUAGUGGCACUAGAGUCUGUUUGUGUUAGAUAUGUCUGUUUGUCAGCAUUAAUCAUACAUAAACCAUGCAUAUACAUGCAUAAUCAUAACAUUCAAAUAUUCAUGAUGCAUUCUUUGCCAUAUAUCUUUGCUUGGUAUCUCCUGCUAUUGGUGAAAUAUUCUUCCCCAAGCAGAUGUUUGUGUCUGAUCUCUCCAUAUCGAGUCAGCCCCAUAGGCAGAAAGUGUCUAUCUUUCCUUCUUUAUUCCCCACUGAGUUAGGUCCUCGUGGAUGAUUUUUGUUUCAGUUUUCGCCCCAGUUAUGUAUCGGGAUGGAAUUACUCCCCUGAGUUAUAUCCUCAUCGGGUUGAGUCUUGUUUGAUUGUGUCUUUCUAGUUUGUUCCUGGAACGACUUUCUUUCUUGUUAUCCCCUGCGGUUCCCUGUGGUUUAGUUGUUCAAUUGCUCAGUAACCAGUAAUUGUUCAUCCUUUUCCACAACAAACUAUGUGGCCUUCUACCCAAUAACUAGUAGUUGUAAGUCCUUUUUCUGUGGUUUUCUACCCAUUAACCGGUAGAUGUAAUCCCCUCUUUGUUGGUUAUCUUUACCCAGUAACCGGUAUUGAUACUCCUUCAUUUUUGAGUAUACCACCCAGUAGCCGGUGAUAUAUCUCUUGGAUAAUUGCUUUUGUCAAGCAAUUUAUCCCCGCCGUGUCAUCUUUCAUUUUACCCUUGUUUGGUAAUGAUUGUUUCUCCUUCUGAUUGGUCAUCAUUUUAGACCCAGUAAUCGGUAUCCCGAUGUCCUUUCUUUUCGGUCGAUUUAUCCUUAUUAACCCAGUAACCGGUUAUGGAUAAUAUUCCAUGCGAGUAUGUUAUCUAUGUUCUGACGGUAAUAGAUAAUAUAUCUCACGCGCUCUUCAGUCGAAGUCUUUUUCUUCCCCAGUUGAGUAAGAUUCGUAUUUCCCUGUGGAAUCGAAUGCCCAUCCUGUAAGUUGAGUUUGCUUUUUCAGCCCUCCUUUCGGAUGAUGAGUGUCUUGGAUAUAUUCCCAAUUCACGCCUGGUUGGUCACCUAUUAUAUGCCCAGUAACCGGUAUCCCUGGUGUUCCUUCCUUCUGCUCCCUAUUUUUCAGCCCUCCUUUCGGAUGAUGAGUGUCUUGGAUAUAUUCCCAAUUCACGCCUGGUUGGUCACCUAUUAUAUGCCCAGUAACCGGUAUCCCUGGUGUUCCUUCCUUCUGCUCCCUAUUAUGACCUUUUGUUCCCUUUGGAGUCAGAUUUCUUGAGUUGAGAUGUGCCUUUUGGUCCUCCUUAGACGUUUCGGAUGAUUGAUAUCUCUCACCCUUAUACCGGUCUUAGAUUUUCUUUCUCCUUGAGCAUGUUGUUCUCUCACCCAGUAACCGGUGGUUUGACGAUAUGUCUCCCUUUUGAGUUUAUUACCCGGUAGUCGGUAAUAUCUCGGUUUUUCUUCCUCAGUUGAGUCCUUUGUGGACAUCUCCGUCUGAGUUCGGAUUUUUAUCUGAAGUAUCCUUUGUGGAUAGUUUUGUUGUAUUGGCAUAUUCCCCAAUACAUGCAUCUUUGCGUCAGCUUGAGUCUUUCCAUUGAUUUAUUUUCGUGGAAACCCUUCGUGUCUCCCAACAAGUAUUCAAGUCGUGACCUGCUCACGUGUUUUUACCUUAUUUACCCCAGAGUCUCUGUCUCCUUAGUGAGUGCAUACUCCUAUUGGAUUUUUCAGUUACUUCUGAUUUCUUUUCCUUCGUGGCAAUUAUUCAGCCUGAAGAUUUUAUUACAUACAUUUGCAUCAUGAGGUCUCUUAGGGACCAAAAUUCGUUUCUUUGUUAUUAUUUAAGCACAUUCUACCUCGUCGAGACGGAGAUUUUAACCUUCAUAUCUCCGGCUAGAAUGACCUUAAAUAGGGGCAUCUGUAAGACCCUAAUUUUGACCCUAAGAUCCCUCAUGGCAUCAUAUCAUUGCUCAUUGUAUUGUCUCAAGGAUCAUAGCAUGUGUGGCUCCUUAACCCUAGGGUUGGGACUUGUGUGAGUGGUUUGAGACCACCAAGCAUGCUUGUAUUUUACAUUAUUGCUUUUCUUACUAACCAAAAGCACAAAAAUAUGUCACUAACUCUGUUUGUUUUGAAGCUCAAGUGAUCAUGUGCUCUCAUGCUCCUAGGAGGCUCAUAAACUCAAUGAAGUGGCUAGAUGAAGAUGAGGGCAAGCAUGACAAUGGUCCACAAAGCUACUAAUCAUCAUAUACGUCUCUCAAGUAUCUCAAUUUGCCAAUUUGAUCAAGAUAACCCAAAGGGCUUGAGGAUUGUUUCCCAAGGAAACCCUAACUCAAUUGUGCUUUGACUGUGCCUUGCUCAUGAAGCAACCUAAACCCAUGAUCAAAUUCAAUCAAGGGAAGUUCUUUCAUUCAUUAUUUUAUGCACAUAUGAGCCUAUUUGAGGAUCCUCAAUCAUUCAUUCAUCAAGAUUUGAAGUUUGGCCUUCAGAAGUUGACCAGUCAAGUCAUCUGACUAAACUGAGGAUCACUGAGAUAUACCUUAUGAUUUGUUUGUCAAAUGAAGAUGACCCCGAGAGAAAAAAAUGUUAUUAAGAACCAUAUGAAAAACUUUAAUGUUCAUCAAAAAUCCAUUUGAAAAUUGGAAGGUCAUAAUACAUUUCAAAACAUUAUAGGUCAUUUUGACUGAAACCCUAAUUUUGGGUCAACUUCCCAAGGACCUAACUUCCUUAAUUUUUAUGAUUUUGAGGUGAGACCAAAUGAAUUGGAAAUCUUAAUAUGUAUACUUCAGAUGUUAUGUUGGACAAAAUUUCAUAAUCCUAAAAUAAAUACAUGUGAUAAUACAAAACAUUAUAGGUCACUUUGGACCUAAGCCAUUGAAUUUUGAAAAAUGUCCAACUUCAAGUGCCCAUAACUUUCUCAUGAAAAAUCCAAAUGAUGCGAAAUGUAAGUCUAAAUUGAUCAUCUUGAAAAGAUAUACAACUUUAAUGUUGGAGGUUUUUCCAUUUGAGGCUUGCAUCAUUGAAACAGAAGGGCCUGAAAAUGCUUGAUUUUGGUAAAAAAAAUCAAAUGGAACCUAGACAUGUUUUGUACCCCAAACUUCACAGCCAAUUUUCAUAUUUCCAAACUCCAAAUGAAUUCUUGCCCAACAUGACUUUUGUUCCUCGUUUCAAGGGAUUUCCAACCAUUACUCAUAUUUUUUUUUCGACUUUCCAUGAGUGAGUUUCGAAGAGCUUAAUGUUUAUGUGCAUUUUUGCAUUUCACUUUGUAACUUCAUGUUCAAGCAAAUGCAGCUCCAAUUACACGUCCAAUUCACUUACAUUUGAUCUCAGCAUGGAUUUCUCUUCACUUUUAGGCCUCACAUGCGCCUGUACAGGCCCAUGCAUGGAGGAUCCAAAAUUCAUGCACACGAGGGAAGGCAUUGCUUUGCAUCCAUUCCAGCUAUAAAUAGAAGCUCAUACUCAUUCAAAUGAUAACCACAAGGAGAUCUGAAAUGCUGCUGGAUUGAAAACUAAACCCUCACCAAAGGAAUUGUUUUUUCUAUUUCAUUUUCAAGCUUGAAUUUCAACAUCAUUAGUUGAAUUUCAAAGCAUAAUUCCUUAACCUUGCAUCACCAUCACACUUCCAGACCAAAAUUGGAUCAAGAGCUUGGACAAUUCGUGUUGUUUGAAGCUCCAUUUCAGAGGUAUAUCACCAAACUUUUCUGAUUCAGAUCUUGAAAUAUAAUGUGAAUUUCUUUGGUUUGUGUUGUUUUCUGAAGUCCUCAAGCAUGAGGCAGACCAGUGGUGGUCUUAAUUUUGCAAAUCGUGCCAUUUCAGAUCAAGCACCAUGAUCUUCAAGCUCAUGUUCCUCUUUAAACAGGAACUUUGAGAAUGAUCCAUGGUUAUAGGGGUGAUGUACAUCACCUCAGCUUCAUUUUGAUACCUUCCUUUUUCAUUUUUAUUAAUGUUUGAUUUCCUGCGCGUGGUGGCCGGAAUUGGUUGUCUGGCCGGAGAAGAUGGUGGUUUCCACCACCAUCCCCACGUGGGAGCUCCAGAGCCCUUGGAUCUUGAUAAAACGUUUUAAUCGUGGCCUUGUAUUAUGUUGACUUGUUUUAAAUCAAUGUGUAACGCGCUUGACCAAGGAGUAUCAUGUGACCGCGCCUCUGGGCCUUAGGAUCACUGCGCAUUUCUGUUAUUUUCUUAUUUUUGUUUUAAUUUCAUUUAAUUCCUUUUAUUUUCAAAAAUUCAUAAAUAUUUUAUUUGAAGUCACAAAAAUAUGAGACCAAUGCCAAAAAAAAUCUUGAAAAAUCUAGUUGCAUAUUUGAUUUUAAUUAAUUUGUGACGAUUUAAUAUUUUUUUGUGAAAUUAGUUUGGUUUUAAAAGUUUUAAUUCAUUUUAAUUACUUUUUUGAUAUUUGAAAAAUCCAAAAAUAUUUUCUUAACACAUAUAGAGUCAUGAUAAGUCAAUGAAAAAUAGUCUCAUCAAUUUCUUAAUUGAUUUGAGAUUUAUUUGAAAUUUUAAUUCAUUUGUGUAUUUUUCAUUGUUUUUAAAUUGUUUUAAAAUAGUUUCUGAUUUCAAAAAAUUAUUGAAAUUUUUUGUCAAAGCUUGUUUGACCAUGUUAGACCUAUGAGAAUUUAAUUGACUUGUUCAAGUUGAUUUGAAUUAAAUUUGAGGUUUGACGCAUAUUUUGUCCAUUUUAUUUUUUGCAUUAUUUUUAAUUCAAAAUACCAAAAAUAUGUUUGACUUGUUGACUUAUGAUCUCUCAAUUCUCUUCUGUUUAGCAUUGGUUGAUGAUGAUUUGAUUCACUUUUGACCAAUUGUGUUUUGAUAUUUGAUUCUCUUUUCAUUCAUUUCAUCUUCAUCUCUUUCUUUUUUUAUUUUGGCCAAUGAGUUAAUGUCUUAUGGUUGGUCUUGACAAAUGAGAGGUUUAACCUUCUUUGAUCCAAAUCAAACUCAAAUUUGAUCCAAGAUCAAGUGAGUUGCAUUGUGUCCAAGAUAGGUUGCUUCUUGGUCAAGCAAAAAACCUAAAGUCCAUACAAGGCCUUUCUCUUUUCUUUUGGCAUGGCAAGUCGUAGGAGCUUGGCUUACUAGUCAUGAUCUCAAACUUGUGUUUAUUUUCCCAUAGUUUUAUGGACCGGCCUCAGAUAGGUGUGACUACUUCAUUAGUCCACUUACGAUUGCUUAACAUAGCGCUAAAUUGUCUUAUGACAAACUAACAUAACCAUACUAAUUACUAACUUUAAUUUGAGCAUUUAAUUUCUUGCAAUUUACUUUAAUGAAAUUUACUUCUUGCUCAUUUAUUCAUAUUGCUUUUCAUUUUGCUUACUUGAGCACAUAUUUUAUGUUUAUUCAAUUUUCCUUUUGCUCAUUUGAGCUCAUUAUUGUAUAUAAAUAUAUUGUUGUCUUGUGAUUGUUUUGUCUUUGUUUUGUGUGAACCUAAUGCAAAAGGAGAAAGGACUUAGAAUUAGGACUUACCUAUGCUUAAAGAAGUUCAAGAGUAACUAGGCCUCAUGCCUUUAGAAUGCUAAACUUGUUGAAGAGCAACUAGGCUUCAUGCCUUUAGAAUGCUAAAUUUCAAAGUUGACUUCAAAGGACUUCCUUUCCAAAACUCAUUCUUUGUCCAUUCCUCUUAUUGUGUUGUGAACUUUUUGAUGUUUGUUCUUGUGUGAUAGGGAUUCCAUCUUGAGAUAGUAAGAAGGACCAUUGUCAUGAAUAGCCAAGUUAAGAGAGACAAGCCAAAUGGAGAUCCUAGGAGCUUGAAUCCAAAUAUUGUGUGAUUGCUUAUUGUUUGCUAAGUCCAAAGGAAAUAAGCAUCUUGAAUUAUCUUUAUGAUCUCAAGAAAAGGAACUCUAAGGGUUUUAUCUCUUUCUCUUAUCUUUGUAUGCUUUAAGGACUAGCCCUUCUCUUCUUCUCCUCACUCUAACCCAAGCCAAACUUUUUUGUGCAAACUUUGACUUUGUUUCAAAUUAGAAACCUAUGCCUUAUGCCUUUGACUUUUCAAAAUCUUUUCAUUAAUACUCAUUGUGAAUAAAUCUUAAUUCAACUUUGACCUCAUUUUGUAAAUAAAUCUAACUUGUAAAUACAACUCACUUCAAGUUGAUUUUGUGGUUCCAAUGGCCACCUUUGUUAAACCUUUUUUAUAAACAUUAGUCAUAGGUUUGAGUUAUCAUAGUGGUUGAUGUAAACCUCACCUUAUCCUUAGUGAUUGGAUUAUAAGUCUCUCAUACUUAUUAUAGGGUUAAUCCCUCACUAGUAUGUUGAAGCUCUCCUCACAUGGUGGAUUGAUGGUUUAGGUUGAGUUUUCUCCCUUUGAUAACAAAAGACCUUAAGGCUUUUGACAAAUCAAUUCAUCAAUCUUUGAGAUUUUUACCCCGAACUACGAGGUUUUGAUCCUACCUUUGUGAUGGUACGUAGGCAAUGGGUUCAUCCAUUCAAACAACAAAUUUGUAAAUAUAAUAUAUUCUUCUCUCAUCCCCCCAAUCUUUUGCACAUAUUUUCAUAAAUACCAACCUACAACACAUAUUUGCAAAAAGAGGUUCCCUUAGAGUACUAAGGAUGUUUUGGGUGCGUAAAACCUUCCCAUUUCAUAACCAACCAAUCUUUUGCACAUAUUUUCAUAAAUACCAACCUACAACACAUAUUUGCAAAAAGAGGUUCCCUUAGAGUACUAAGGAUGUUUUGGGUGCGUAAAACCUUCCCAUUUCAUAACCAACCCCCUUACUUGAGAUAUUCUUCUCUCUGAUAUUUUUAUUAGUUUUUGAUUUGAUAAAACUUCUUACUUGGCUUUUGUUCGCUUUUUAGCCUUUCCUUUGGACAAAUAAAAGUGCGGUGACGACUCGAAUUAUAUGUUUACUUUUGGUUUAGUCAAUAAGCCUAAAGGUAACGAAUACCCCGCUACAGAAAAGUGGUGACUCUGCUGGGGAAAUCUAUGUUCCUAGUGGGUUCAGCCUACUUUUUGCUUGUAUGUGUUGUAUGUUUAUAUUUAUUUAUGUCAUAUUUUUGUGCAAAUUUGGGAUGACUGUAUUAAUUGUAAUGUAUGAAUUGUUUGAUAUACUAAUUGCUUGUGUGCUUGGUGGUCUCUUGUGAGAUGAGUUCUAUACCCGAACUCGAGUGCACUUAUGAUAGGAGAAUGGCAUAGUCUUGUUGACUUGUGUUAUUCCUUAGCAAGUUUGAGUUGCAAAGCUAUUCACUUGGUGAGGUCUUGUUGGAUCAAUAAUGUCACACGAGUAUCAUGGUUAGGCAUUACUCUUUCCAAUAUAAAUAGAAGCCAAGGACCUUAGAUACCUAGCCCAUCUUGGCCUAUUUUAGGACGUAGUGCGAAGGUCGUUCAAGUGUAAGAUUUGAUACGAUUGUUACGUGAUACUACACUCAUAAGAGUCUCUCUUGAGCAUAUUUUUGGAAUACGAGUAGUCGUUUUAUCCGAUAAUAUCUGAAAGAUGAGAUGAUGACUAUGGGGACCCUUUUUAGGACAUGAUUGUCAGGUUUAACCAUAGUACACUCCCUUUGGGUGGUUCUUAACCGAGACUCCAUGCUCGUGACUUACAAUAAACCCUUGAUUUGCGGUUGAUCCGUUCUCAUAUAUCCUCAAUAUCAAUGGAACUUGGGUGUUGAUAAGGUGUAAACCAUAAUCCACCAAAAUGGAUGAUUGAUAUUGACGAUAACGUGAGCCAUCCCGUGACCUUUGUGUGGUGUGACUCGCUUGAUCCUUGAGUGUGAUUGUUGCAUCCAUGCAUUCAUGCAUUCAUGCAUUCAUUUGCAUCCAUAUCAUCAACAAUAAAGAAUUUCAAGGAACUUAAGAGGUCUAUUUGCAAAAUUUCAGACAUGAAUAAGCAAAGAAGGAAUACAAAGAAGUACAGUUUCAGACAACCCGACUUGAAAGAAUUAAGGAGUUUGACAUCUUAUGUAUUAGAGCCCUUGGAGUUCAAAGCUCGCCAUGGAAAGCUCCUGUCUAUUCUUUCUACCAAGGUGGAUGAAGGUUUGAUGAGUGUGUUGGUGCAGUUCUAUGAUCCUUUGUAUCGAUGCUUUACUUUUCCGAAUUUCCAGCUUUUUCCUAUCAUGGGGGUAUAUCUAUCUUGGAUCAGUUGUCGUUCAGUGGUUUGGAGAGGAUUCCUUCUUCCCAAGAGAUUGCUAAUAUGCUUCACAUAGAUGUAUCUGAUAUUGUUGCUCAUAUGACUACCAAAGGUGGAAUUCAAGGUCUCCCAUAUGAUUUUCUCAUUGCCCAAGUUACUUUGUUUGGGAAGGCCAUGAGUGAGGACGCCUUUGAAGCCGUAUUUGUGCUUCUCAUCUAUGGGCUAGUGUUAUUUACCAACAUCGACAAUUUUGUGGAUGUGAACGCUAUUAGGAUUUUCUCUUCUCUUAAUCCCGUUUCGACUCUGUUGGGUGACACUUAUUUCUCUUUGCAUAUGAGGAAUGCAAAGGGUGGUGGUUCCAUUGUGUGUUGUUUGUCUUUGUUGUAAAAGUGUUUUAUUUCGCACUUGCCUCAGACGCUCGCCUUCAAGGAGAACAAGGGAUGUCUACGGUGGUCUGUGAGACUCAUGUCUCUUACUAAUGAUGAUAUCUCUUGGUAUAACCGUGUUUAUGAUGGGCGUUCAGAUUAUUGACUCUUGUGGUGAGUUCUCCAAUGUGCCUCUUCUCGGUACAUGUGGUGGAAUUAACUACAACCCUGUUUUGGCUCGCCGUCAGCUUGGGUUCCCCUUAAAAGAUAAACCUAACAAUAUUUUGUUAGAAGGUGUGUUCUUUCAAGAGAGUAAAGAUCCCCAGAAAUUGAAGGGCAGGAUGGUCCGCGCCUGGCGCAAAGUUCAUAGGAAGGGAAGGAAGGAGCUAGGGCCGAAGAAUUGUAUUGCUUUGGAACCCUACACCGCUUGGGUGAGGAAGAGAGCUCUUAAGUACUGUAUCUCGUAUGAUUAUCCAAGACCUACCCCUAUGGUUAUGGUUGGGCCUUCAACCCUCCCUAACCAAGGAGUAGAGGAGUUGAGAGAUGAAGACCGAUCGCGUGCUUGGGUUCGUGAGCGAGAGGAACAACUUCAGCAGCUCAGAGAUAAGGAUGCAAUGAUAGAAUUUCUAGAGCAUCAGGUUAUUGAUGAGCCUGAUGAUGUGGUUACUUCUCUUCUUCCUUACUCAUCCAGGUUUUGGAGGAGGAAGUAUGAUCAGCUCGCCUAGGAGAAGGCUGAUAUGGAAGCAGCUUAUGAGAGAGAGGUGAAGAGGCUUCAUUCAGCUUAUCUUCCGAUUUCGAGGGCUUUGGACGAUUGUUUUUAGGGCUUCAUAGGAUGUUUAUUCUCCUUUUCUCUUGUAUUGUAUUUGGUUACCAAAACUGUACUACUUCUUUGGUGUAAAAAGUUUCCAAAUAUUAUUGCUAUGAGCAUUCCAUAUAUGUCUUAAAAUAUUAAUAUUUUCAAGUAUUUGUAAAUAGACCUCUAUAAAUUUCCUCAAAUAAAAACAAAUCAUACGCACAAACAUUGCAUGCAUCAUAUGCAUAAGAAGGUUUUGUUCUGAGCUCUUGAUUAGUGGUCUAACUCUUUGCUCUUCAUUUAUUUUGAAGACAAGUUGACGCACCGGUAUAAUACCAGAGCCAAUCAUCCAAGGAUAAUGGAGCAUUUAGAGCAAGAGAACCGGGAAUUGAAAGAAGAGAUUGCUAGGCUGACUGCCAUGAUGGAGUCAGUUUUGGCCGCCCAAAGCCAAGCUUCGCCGACUCCUGCAACUCCUCCCGCGAGGACUGUUAUAUCAGAGAUAGCUGCGUCAGCUGUGCCUGCUGCAACAGCCCACUUUGCGCCAUCUAUGUCAGCCGGGUUCCCUUGGGGAAUGCUUGCUAACUUUGUGCCAGAAGGUUUUGCUCCUACUCUCGCUUCUCUACCGGCAUCUAGCCCAGUCUUAUCUGUGUCACCUCUCAUUAUGCAUACCCUACCCCGUGUUGAAGACACCAUCUAUCAUUCUGAGCCAUCUGAGGGCCCGGAUGUUUAUGAGAAGAUGGAUGAAAUGAAAGACUAAUUCAUUGAGCUGCGCAAGGAACUGAAGACUCUAAGGGGGAAGUACCUCUUUGGUAAAAGUGCUGCUGAGUUGUGCCUAGUGCCCAACGUGAAGAUCCCUGUUAAAUUCAAAGUGCAUGACUUUGAGAAGUACAAGGGAAACACAUGCCCGCUCAGCCAUCUUGUGAUGUAUGCUCACAAGAUGUCAACACAGACUGAUAACGACCAACUGCUUAUCCAUUACUUCCAGGAUAACCCAUUAGGUGCUGCGCUUCGGUGGUAUAUGGGGCUGGAGAGUGUUAGCAUCCGCUCUUUCAACGAUUUAGGAGAGGCCUUCAUCAAGCAGUAUAAAUAUAAUGUGGAUAUGGCUCCGGAUAGGGAAUAGUUGAGGGAAAUGUCGCAGAAGGACAAAGAGACCCUCAAAGAGUACGCCUAGAGAUGGCGAGAGCUGGCAGCUCAGAUAGUGCCACCCCUAGAAGAGAAAGAGAUGACAAAAAUAUUUUUGAAGACUUUGAGCUCUUUCUAUUAUUAAAGAAUGAUAACCAGUGCUCCCUCAGACUUCACCGAAAUGGUGAACAUGGGGAUGAGAUUGGAAGAGGGGGUCCGUGAAGGACGUUUGUCUAGGGAUGAUGGUUCCUCAGCAAAGAGGUAUGGGGGCUUUGCUAAGAAGAAGGAAGGAGAGAUACAUGUUGUGUCCUCCCAUAUUAAAAGAAGGCCCUCUAUGAGGAGGAAGGACGUGCGCCCUGCCGUCAACCAACACCAGGUGGCUCACAUAGCACCUGCUUUUCGAGAAGUUCAUCAUCAACAACAACAACAACAUCGUCAACAACAACAAGCCUACCAGCCUCGAAACAAUAAUAACACCAGCACCAGCAACUACGAGAGGAAGAGGGUAACUUUUGACCCGAUUCCGAUGACUUAUGCUGAACUGUAUCCUUCCUUAAUUGAUAGGAAGUUGAUAACUCUGCGAGAUUGUUCUGCUGUACCGACCAACCCUCAGUGGUGGUAUAAGCCCGAGCUUCACUGUGUAUAUCAUUCCAGUGCUCCCGGACAUGACGUGGAAAACCGUUACCCAUUGAAGACCAAGAUGCAAGACCUUGUGAGAAGUGGUAUUUUGUUUUUUGAGGAUGUAGGUCCUAAUGUUAAGAAGAACCCAUUGCUCGAGCAUGGGAAAGUUGUUGUUAACAUGGUCCAGGGGUGCCUUGGCAAAUAUAAAGUCCUGUAUGUUAAUGACAUAAGGCAAUCUUUGGUCGAGAUGCACAAGCUGUUGUGUGAACACAACCACUACGAGCAUGACCAUGAUAGGUGCCAGGUGUGCACUAUCAAUGAAAGAGGAUACCGACAAGUAAGAAAGGACAUCCAAGAGAUACUUGAUCAGGGAAUGAUUGAAAUACUUCAGAAUCGCAAUGAGGACGAAGUUGAUGUUAUCUCCCCUGUAUUUAGAAUCCCUGAGCCUGUUGUUGUCGAGUAUGAUGGCAGCAAGAAGAAGGUAUCACCAGCUCUUGUGAUCAAGCCAGCAGGUCAUGUCCCGUAUGUAUCGGACAAGACUGUUCCCUAAAGAUAUAACGCAACCAUGCUAGAAGAUGGGAAGGAGGUGUCGUUGCCCUCAACCUCUGUUGUAAGCAUUUCUGAUGUCAGUGGUGUGACCCGUAGUGGUCGUGUUUUCUCGGCCCCGCCGAAACCCCAUGAAGAUGUCAUGAGGAGAACUGUUGUUAAUCAUGCCGGUCCCGUGGGGACUUCUUCUGCAAAAAAAAUUGUUCCUGCUGUUGACCCUGUUGCUGUUAAAUCCAAUAACACUCAUAUCCUAGUUGGCCAGUCUGGCAUUUUGAAAGAGGAUGGUGAUUAGAUGCUAAGGCUCAUCAAAAGGAGUGAAUACAAUGUUGUUGAUCAGCUGCUACAAACUCCAUCAAAGAUAUCUGUAUUAUCUUUGUUGAUGAAUUCUGAGCCACACCGCGAAGCUUUGCAGAGGGUGUUAGACGUGGCAUACGUGGAUCACGAUGUCACUAUUGAGCAGUUUGAUAGCAUUGUCGCAAAUAUAACCGCUUGCAACAACUUGAGUUUCUGUGAUGCUGAUCUUCUCGAGGAGGGAAAAGACCACAAUUUGGCCUUACACAUUUCAAUGAACUGUAAGGAUGAUGCCUUGUCCAAUGUGUUGGUGGACACAGGAUCAUUACUUAAUGUGUUGCCAAAAUCCACUCUUGCUAAACUUUCUUACCAGGGGCCUCCGAUGAGGCAUAGUGGAGUGGUUGUGAAGGCGUUUGAUGGAUCGCAUAAAACCGUGAUCGGUGAAUUAGAACUCCCGAUCAAGAUUGGACCUAGUGAUUUCCAUAUCACUUUCCAGGUCAUGGAUAUUCAUCCAUCUUACAGCUGUUUGCUUGGCAGACCAUGGAUCCACGAGGCAGGCGUCGUGACAUCCACCCUACACCAAAAGUUGAAGUUUGUGAAAAACAAGAAGUUGGUGGUGAUAAGGGGAGAGAAGGCUCUCUUGGUCAGUCAUUUAUAUUCCUUUUCCUAUAUUGACGCUGAGGAUGAGGUUGGGACUCCGUUCCAAGCCUUGUCUAUUGUGGAGCCUUCAAGGAAAUGACUUUCUUCAUUUGUCUCCUAUAACAACGCGAAGUUGGCCAUUGAGCAUGGUGCAAAUACUGGUUUAGGGCAAAUGAUCAAGUUGGAGGAUAACAAAUCCCGAUAUGGCAUAGGGUAUUCUUCUGGUAUUUCCAAUGAGUGUGGGUUAUUCCAGAGUGGAGGUUUUAUCCACACAGUUGAAGAUCAGGAAGCUGAUGUCAUUGUUGAAGAUGAUGAAGAGGAAGAUCUUGGAAACUUUGUCAUACCUGGCGGAAUCUGCAAUAAUUGGGUCGCUGUUGAUGUUCCAACAGUUAUCCAUAAGUCAACGUAAUGUGUUCAUUUUGUUUGAAAACCCUUCUCCCAUGCCAAAAGGAGAAGUGAAAAGUCAACGUAAUGUGUUCAUUUUGUUUGAAAACCCUUCUCCCAUGCCAAAAGGAGAAGUGAUGACAUUGUUGGCAUAAUUUGAUUAAUACAAUGAUAUUCAUUCAAUAAUCACAUGUUAAAUGUUUAUUUUUCCAAAUUAUUUUUCCUUUUUGCUUUUUGCAUGAAAUUGGUGAUCACCAUAAAACCCUAAAAAGAGAAUAAAAUUAAUCUUUUCAUCUGCAUAAUGAUUUGCCUUGCUUGAAUUAUGAAAUCUCUUUUAUACUCAAAAUCAUUAUGCAGGUUAAUCAAAACAAUUGAACAUAAUGAUCCAACACCAUCUCCCAACUUUGAGUUCCUUGUAUUUGAGGCAGAAGAAGAUGAUGUUGAAGAGAUUGCUGAUGAAAUUACCCGUCUGCUUGAGCACGAGGAGAAGAUCAUUCAGCCGCAUCUUGAGAAUCUGGAAACAAUCAACUUGGGGUCUGAAGACUGUGUUCGUGAAGUAAAUAUUGGGGCACUCCUUGAAGAGUCUAUGAAGAAGGGGUUGAUCGAGUUGCUAUGAGAAUAUGUCGACGUCUUUGCCUGGUCGUAUGAAGACAUGCCUAGUCUAGAUACUGAUAUUGUGCAACAUUUCCUACCAUUGAAGCCUGAGUGUGUGCCUAUAAAGCAGAAGCUCAGAAGAACUCAUCCAGAUAUAGCAGUGAAGAUUAAAGAAGAAGUUCAGAAGCAAAUUGAUAAGGGGUUUCUGGUAACUUCUACAUAUCCUCUAUGGGUGGCCAAUAUUGUGCUUGUGCCUAAGAAAGAUGGAAAAGUCCAAAUGUGUGUGGAUUACCGUGACUUGAAUAAACUAGUCCGAAAGAUGAUUUUCCUCUACCACACAUUGAUAUGUUGGUAGACAAUACAGCUAAAUUCAAUGUCUUCUCAUUUAUGGAUGGAUUUUCCGGUUACAACCAGAUUAAAAUGGCACCCGAGGAUAUGGAGAAGACAACAUUCAUCACACCUUGGGGAACAUUCUGUUAUCGAGUGAUGCCCUUUGGUUUGAAGAACGCCGGAGCCACGUAUCAAUGCGCUAUGACUACCUUGUUUCAUGAUAUGAUGCAUAAGGAGAUUGAGGUGUAUGUUGAUGAUAUGAUUGCAAAUUCGAAAACGGAAGUUGAACAUGUAGAACACUUGUUGAAGCUUUUCCAGCGUUUGAGGAAGUACAAACUCCACCUGAAUCCGAACAAGUGUACAUGUGGAGUCCGUUCCGGAAAGUUAUUGGGCUUUAUUGUCAGUGAAAGAGGUAUUGAAGUUGAUCAUGCCAAGGUCAAAGCAAUACAAGAGUUGCCUGCGCCCAAAACUGAGAAGCAAGUCCGAGGUUUUCUUGGCCGCUUGAAUUACAUUUCGAGAUUUAUAUCCCACAUGACUGCCACAUGUGCGCCUAUAUUCAAGCUCCUCCAGAAAGAUCAGCGUCAUAAAGCAAGUCCGAGGUUUUCUUGGCCGCUUGAAUUACAUUUCGAGAUUUAUAUCCCACAUGACUGCCACAUGUGCGCCUAUAUUCAAGCUCCUCCAGAAAGAUCAGCGUCAUGAUUGGACCGAGGAUUUCCAGAAGGCCUUUGAUAGUAUCAAAGAGUGUUUGUCUGAGCCUCCGAUUUUGUCUCCGCCUGUUGAAGGGAGACCCUUGAUUAUGUACUUGACUGUGCUUGAUGAUUCCACGGGUUGUGUAUUGGGUCAGCAAGAUGAAUCAGGAAAGAAAGAGUAUGCAAUAUACUACUUGAGCAAGAAGUUCACUGAUUUUGAGUCUCGGUACUCAAUGCUUGAGAAGACAUGAUGUGCUUUGGCUUGGGCUGCUAAGCGCUUACACCAGUAUAUGCUGAAUCAUACGACUUGGUUGAUAUCCAAAAUGGAUCCAAUCAAGUAUAUCUUGUAGAAGCCUGCUUUAAUUGGGAGGAUUUCCCAUUGGCAGAUGUUGUUAUCUGAGUAUGAUAUUGAGUAUCGAGCUCAGAAAGCUAUUAAAGGUAGUAUCUUGGCUGACCACUUGGCACAUCAACCAAUUGAAGAUUAUCAGUCUAUUCAGUAUAACUUCCCUAAUAAUGAGAUUAUGUAUUUGAAGAUGAAAGAUUGUGAUGAGCCUACGCUUGAUGAAGGGACAAAGCCUGGUUCCCGAUGGGGCAUGGUGUUCGAUGGUGUUGUUAAUCAAUAUGGAAAUGGUAUUGGGGCAGUGAUUAUUACUCCUCAAGGCACACAUUUUCCUUUUACUGCAAGGCUAACUUUCAAAUACACGAAUAAUAUGGCGGAAUAUGAGGCCUAUAUUAUGGGUUUGGAAGAGUGUAUUGAUCUUAGGAUCAAACAUCUUGAUGUUUAUGGUGAUUCGGCCCUUGUUGUUAAUCAGAUUAAGGGUGAAUGGGAAACGAAUCAGCCUGGCCUCAUCCCAUACAUAUUAUGGGUUUGGAAGAGUGUAUUGAUCUUAGGAUCAAACAUCUUGAUGUUUAUGGUGAUUCGGCCCUUGUUGUUAAUCAGAUUAAGGGUGAAUGGGAAACGAAUCAGCCUGGCCUCAUCCCAUACAGAGAUUAUACGAGGAGGAUUUCAACUUUCUUUACUGAGGUUGACUUCCAUCAUAUUCCUCGAGAUGAGAAUCGGAUGGCAGAUGCUUUUGCUACGCUUGCUUCAAUGAUUGUGGUGAAAUAUUGGAAUGAAGUCCCUAAUAUUACUGUGAUGCGCUUGGAUAGACCAGCUCAUAUGUUUGUAGUUGAGGAAGUGAAAGAUGAUAAGCCAUGGUAUUAUGAUAUCAAGUGCUUUCUCCAAAGUCAGACUUACCCGCCUGAGGCAUCUGUUAAAGAUAAGAAGAUUUUGAGGAGAUUAUCUGGCAGUUUCUACCUUAAUGGUGAUGUGCUUUAUAAGAGGAAUUUUGACAUGGUUCUGCUCAGAUGCGUGGAUAGACACGAAGCAAACCUGUUGAUGACUGAAGUCCAUGAGGGUUCAUUUGGUACUCAUUCCAAUGGACAUGAGGAUAGACACGAAGCAAACCUGUUGAUGACUGAAGUCCAUGAGGGUUCAUUUGGUACUCAUUCCAAUGGACAUGCCAUGGCAAAGAAGAUGUUGAGAGCAGGCUACUAUUGGCUGACAAUGGAGUCUAACUGCUACAAAUAUGUGAAGAAAUGCCACAAGUGUCAAAUUUAUGCGGAUAAGAUUCAUAUUCCCCCGACACUUCUGAAUGUUAUUUCCUCACCAUGGCCUUUCUCCAUGUGGGAAAUUGACAUGAUUAGCAUGAUUGAGCCAAAGGCGUUGAACGGUCACCGUUUUAUUCUCGUAGCUAUUGAUUACUUCACCAAGUGGGUUGAAGCGGCAUCGUAUGCAAAUGUGACCAGGCAGGUGGUUGUGAAGUUUAUGAAGAACCAGCUAAUAUGCCGAUAUGGUGUGCCAGACAAGAUCAUUACUGAUAAUAGAUCUAGCUUGAACAACAAGAUGAUGAAAGAGCUGUGUAGCGAGUUCAAGAUUGCACAUCAUAAUUCUUCUCCCUACAGACCCAAGAUGAAUGGGGAUGUUGAAGCUGCUAACAAGAACAUCAAGAAGAUUAUUCAUAAGAUGGUUGUUACGUACAAAGAUUGGCAUGAGAUGCUGCUAUUCGGCUUGCAUGGUUAUCAUACAUUUGUUCGCACUUCAACAGGGGCAACCCAUUUUUCUCUUGUGUAUGGCAUGGAGGCUAUGCUCCCCGUGGAGGUUGAGAUCCCAUCAAUGAGAGUCUUGAUGGAAGCCAAGUUGACUGAGGCUGAAUGGGUUCAGAGUCGUUAUGACCAACUGAAUUUAAUUGAAGAGAAGAGAUUAAUUGCCAUGUGUCAUGGUCAGUUGUAUCAGCAAAGGAUGAAGAAAGCCUUUGAUAAGAAGGUCAAGCCUCGUGUGUUCAAAGAAUGUGACCUCGUGCUCAAGAAAGUCUUGUCUUUCGUGCCCGAUUCCAGGGGCAAGUGGACUCCAAACUAUAAAGGUCCAUAUGUUGUUAAGAGAGCCUUUUCAGGCGGUGUUUUGUUGCUUACAACUAUGGAUGGGGAGGAUUCCACUCGUCCUGUGAAUUCAGAUGCAGUCAAGAAAUACUUUGCCUAAAAAUAAAAUAAAAAACAGAAUAGCUCGCUAAGUUGAAAACCCGAAAGGACGGCUUAGGCAAAAAUGAGUGUCUCGGUGGAUUGAAAACCCGAAAGGGCGGUCCAGGAAAAAGUUAGAGACAUGAAAAAAUAAAAUUAUAUAUAUAAUAUAUAUAUAUAUAUCCCGCUAGAUUGAGUACCUCACCCUGGGGCAAUCUAGGCAAAAAUUAGGGAUUUGGCAAGUAAUUGCAUCCUGACAAGACUUUGUUCUUCAACUGUCAUCUAUCAAAGAUUCUCGCUCAGUUGUCAUCAACUGAAGCUUCAAAUACAUUGGAUUCAGAGUUGGUGGAGAAAUGGUCAUUAUGUUCAAUGUAGCCCUUUUUUCCCAAUAUAUAUCACCAUUUUCAAAUUUGUAAAGAUCCAUGGAGUCUCGCCAUUUGUGGGCUACCAUUCUAUUAAAUAAAUUCGAGCCUUUAUCCAAUUCUUUGCACUCUUAUUUUGUUUCUUUGUGACAAAUGUUUGCAUGUUUUAAUUGAUAAAUAUCAUUGUUUUAAACGAAUAAAGUUUUUAUAAAACUGUUUUAAACAAAGUGAACAUUCACGAUGACUAAAAGGAUAGUUGGAAUGUCUUCAGUGCUCUCCCAAGGAUAGUACGAUUUCCAAAAGGGUAGGACAUUUGUUCAUUUUCUGGCAUUCUUAUAUCCUCUCCAUCAGCUUUCAAGUUGUCUCCUCAGCGAGCGCAGAAGAGUGAUACAUCGUCAGCCUCCCAAAGAAUUUGACGCUAGCAUUUGUGUUUUAUCAAUUAUAUGGUUGUCAUCCCUUGUGGGGACUGACCUAAAAUCCCUUAUAGAUUGAUAAAAGUUAGUUUGCUAUCUAUUCAUGAGGAAGUUUGUCUUUCCCCAGUAUGAGUAGAAGUCCUCUGCGGAGUAAGCAUGUGUUCCCUGCAUAGCUGCCUUUCCAGAUAAGUUGUUUCCUCAACAGGAAGUUUGUCCAGGGAAGUUGGUGAAGGGCUUGAGUCCCUUUUCAUCCCCAGCAUGGCACUUGUUGACCAAGGAUUCGUUUACGUUUCCCUCAGUCAGGACAGUUCCUUCGGGAGUACUAGCAAUUUAUCCCCAGUAUGGUCGCCUACAGUCCAUCCCCAGUAGGAUUGCCCAAUCCGAGCUUGAUAAUUUAUAUCCCCUCCCUGGUUGAAAAUAUCUUCCAAUAUUGGACGGUGAUGAGGAAGAUGUGUUAUUUCCUUCCUAGCGGAGCAAUUGUUCUUCCUCCCCUUAGCAGAGAUGUCUCUCCAGCAGUUAGAAGGGAGUGCUUGAUUGAUGUGUAUAUAUUUGGUGGGUGUUCCCCACAGAAUUUCACAUCAUCCCUUGUUAAGAUCCCCAGUAGAGUUUCUUCUACGAUAGAUCUUAUUGGUAUCCAGCCACCUGUUCCCGAGAAAUGAUGAAGGAUCCCCGGCAGUUGGUAGCUGUGACCUUUGCCUAUCCCCAGCGGUGAUCUAUGUCUCCUGGUAUUAGAUCCACCCCACCAGAGAUGAGUUCUCUUGUGGGGCCUGGCCUUUCUCUUUUUGAAGAUGUUAUACCGGAUGUCCGUUCGUGGCUUUGGAGCCUGUUUGUGUUAGAUAUGUCUGUUUGUCAGCAUUAAUCAUACAUAAACCAUGCAUAUACAUGCAUAAUCAUAACAUUCAGACAUUCAUGAUGCAUUCUUUGCCAUAUAUCUUUGCUUGGUAUCUCCUGCUAUUGGUGAAAUAUUCUUCCCCAAGCAGAUGUUUGUGUCUGAUCUCUCCAUAUCGAGUCAGCCUCAUAGGCAGAAAGUGUCUAUCUUUCCUUCUUUAUUCCCCACUGAGUUAGGUCCUCGUGGAUGAUUUUUGUUUCAGUUUUUGCCCCAGUUAUAUAUCGGGAUGGAAUUACUCCCCUGAGUUAUAUCCUCAUCGGGUUGAGUCUUGUUUGAUUGUGUCUUUCUAGUUUGUUCCUGGAUUGACUUUCUUUCUUGUUAUCCCCUGCGGUUCCCUGUGGUUUAGUUGUUCAAUUGCUCAGUAACCAGUAAUUGUUCAUCAUUUUCCCUAGCGAACUAUGUAGCCUUCUACCCAAUAACUAGUAGUUGUAAGUCCUUUUUCUGUGGUUUUCUACCCAGUAACCGGUAGAUGUAAUCCCCUCUUUGUUGGUUAUCUUUACCCAGUAACCGGUAUUGAUUCUCCUUCAUUUUUGAGUAUACCACCCAGUAGCCGGUGAUAUAUCUCUUGGAUAAUUGCUUUUGUCAAGCAAUUUAUCCCCGCCGAGUCAUCUUUCAUUUUACCCUUGUUUGGUAAUGAUUAUUUCUCCUUCUGAUUGGUCAUCAUUUUAUACCCAAUAAUCGGUAUCCCGAUGUCCUUUCUUUUCGGUCGAUUUAUCCUUAUUAACCCAGUAACCGGUUAUGGAUAAUAUUCCAUGCGAGUAUGUUAUCUACGUUUUGACGGUAAUAGAUAAUAUAUCUCAUGCGCACUUCAGUCGAAGUCUUUUUCUUCCCCAGUUGAGUAAGAUUCGUAUUUCCCUGUGGAAUCGAAUGCCCAUCCUGUAAGUUGAGUUUGCUUUUUCAGCCCUCCUUUAGGAUGAUGAGUGUCUUGGAUAUAUUCCCAAUUCACGCCUGGUUGGUCACCUAUUAUAUGCCCAGUAACCGGUAUCCCUGGUGUUCCUUCCUUCUGAUCCCUAUUAUGACCUUUUGUUCCCUUUGGAGUCAGAUUUCUUGAGUUGAGAUGUGCCUUUUGGUCCUCCUCAGACGUUUCGGAUGAUUGAUAUCUCUCACCCUUAUACCGGUCUUAGAUUUUCUUUCUCCUUGAGCAUGUUGUUCUCUCACCCAGUAACCGGUGGUUUGACGAUAUGUCUCCCUUUUGAGUUUAUUACCCGGUAGUCGGUAAUAUCUCGGUGUUUCUUCCUCAGUUGAGUCCUUUGUGGACAUCUCCGUCUGAGUCCGGAUUUUUAUCUGAAGUAUCCUUUGUGGAUAGUUUUAUUGUAUUGGCAUAUUCCCUAAUACAUGCAUCUUUGCGUCAGCUCGAGUCUUUCCAUUAAUUUAUUUUCGUGGAAUCCCUUCGUGUCUCCCAACAAGUAUUCAAGUCGUGACCUGAUCACGCGUUUUUACCUUAUUUACCCCAGAGUCUUUGUCUCCUUAGUGAGUGCAUACUCCUAUUGGAUUUUUCAGUUACUUCUGAUUUCUUUUCCUUCGUGGCAAUUAUUCACCCUGAAGAUUUUAUUACAUACAUUUGCAUCAUGAGGUCUCUUAGGGACCAAAAUUCGUCUCUUUGUUAUUAUUUAAGCCCAUUCUACCUCGUCGAGACGGAGAUUUUAACCUUCAUAUCUCCGGCUAGAAUGACCUUAAAUAGGGGCAUCUGUAAGACCCUAAUUUUGACCCUAAGAUCCCUCAUGGCAUCAUAUCAUUGCUCAUUAUAUUGCCUCAAGGAUCAUAGCAUGUGUGGCUCCUUAACCCUAGGGUUGGGACUUGUGUGAGUGGUUUGAGACCACCAAGCAUGCUUGUAUUGUAUAUUAUUUCUUUUCUUACUAACCAAGCACAAAAAUAUGUCACUCACUCUGUUUGUUUUGAAGCUCAAGUGAUCGUGUGCUCCCAUGCUCCUAGGAGGCUCAUAAACUCAAUGAAGUGGCUAGAUGAAGAUGAGGGCAAGCAUGACAAUGGUCCACAAAGCUCUUAAUCAUCAUAUAAGUCUCCCAAGUAUCUCAAUUUGCCAAUUUGAUCAAGAUAACCCAAAGGGCUUGAGGAUUGUUUCCCAAGGAAACCCUAACUCAACUGUGCUUUGACCGUGCCUUGCUCAUGAAGCAACCUAAACCCAUGAUCAAAUUCAAUCAAGGGAAGUUAUUUCAUUCAUUAUUUUAUGCACAUAUGAGCCUAUUUGAGGAUCCUCAAUCAUUCAUUCAUCAAGAUUUGAAGUUUGGUCUUCAGAAGUUGACCAGUCAAGUCAUCUGACUAAACUGAGGAUCACUGAGAUAUACCUUAUGAUUUGUUUGUCAAAUGAAGAUGACCCCGAGAGAAAAAAAUGUUAUUAAGAACCAUAUGAACAACUUUAAUGUUCAUCAAAAAUCCAUUUGAAACUUGGAAGGUCAUAAUACAUUUCAAAACAUUAUAGGUCAUUUUAACUGAAACCCUAAUUUUGGGUCAACUUCCCAAGGACCUAACUUCCUUAAUUUUUAUGAUUUUGAGGUGAGACCAAAUGAAUUGGAAAUAUUAAUAUGUCUACUUCAGAUGUUAUGUUGGACAAAAUUUCAUAAUCCUAAAAUAAAUACAUGUGAUAAUACAAAACAUUAUAGGUCACUUUGGACCUAAGCCAUUGAAUUUGAAAAAUGUCCAACUUCAAGUGCUCAUAACUUUCUCAUGAAAAAUCCAAAUGAUGCAAAAUGUAAGUCUAAAUUGAUCAUCUUGAAAAUAUUUGCAACUUUGAUGUUGGAGGAUUUUCCGUUUGGGACUUUCAUCAUUGAGACAGAAGGGACUGAAAAUGCUUGAUUUUGGUAAAAAAAAUUCAAAGGGAACCUAGACAUGUUUUGUACCCCAAACUUCACAGCCAGUUUUGAUAAAUUUCCAAACUCCAAAUGAAUUUUUUCCCAACAUGACUUUUGUUCCUCAUUUCAAGGGCUUUCCAACCGUUACUCACAUUAAUUUUUUGGACUUUCCAUGAGUAAGUUUCGAAGAGCUUAAUGUUUAUGUGCAUUUUUGCAUUUCACUUUGUAACUUUAUGUGCAAGCAAAUGCAGCUCCAAUUACACGUCCAAUUCACUUACUUUUGAUCUCAGUAUGGAUUUCCCUUCACUUUUAGGCCUCACAUGCGCCUGUACAGGCCCAUGCAUGGAGGAUCCAAAAUUCACGCACACGAGGGAAGGCAUUGCUUUGCAUCCAUUCCAGCUAUAAAUAGAAGCUCAUACACCUGUACAGGCCCAUGCAUGGAGGAUCCAAAAUUCACGCACACGAGGGAAGGCAUUGCUUUGCAUCCAUUCCAGCUAUAAAUAGAAGCUCAUACUCAUUCAAAUGAUAACCACAAGGAGAUCUGAAAUGCUGCUGGAUUGAAAACCAAACCCUCACCAAAGGAAUUUCAGUUUUUUCUAUUUCAUUUUCAAGCUUGAAUUUCAAUAUCAUUAGUUGAAUUUCAAAGCAUAAUUCAUUAACCUUGCAUCACCAUCACACUUCUAGAUCAAAAUUGGAUCAAGAGCUUGGACAAUUCGUGUUGUUUGAAGCUCCAUUUCAGAGGUAUAUCACCAAACUUUUUUGAUUCAGAUCUUGAAAUAUAAUGUGAAUUUCUUUGGUUUGUGUUAUUUUCUGAAGUCCUCAAGCAUGAGGCAGGCCAGUGGUGGUCUUAAUUUUGCAAAUCGUGUCAUUUCAGAUCAAGCACCAUGAUCUUCAAGCUCAUGUUCCUCUUUAAAUAGGAACUUUGAGAAUGAUCCAUGGUUACAGGGGUGAUGUACAUCACCUCAACUUCAUUUUGAUACCUUCCUUUUUCAUUUUUAUUAAGGUUUGAUUUCCUGUGCGUGGUGGCCGGAAUUGGUUGUCUGGCCGGAGAAGAUGGUGGUUUCCACCACCAUCCCCGCGUGGGAGCUCCAGAGCCCUUCGAUCUUGAUAAAAUGUUUUAAUCGUGGCCUUGUAUUAUGUUGACUUGUUUUAAAUCAAUGUGUAACGCGCUUGACCAAGGAGUAUCAUGUGACCGCGCCUCCGAGCCUUAGGAUCAUUGCCACGUCAAUUAAUGAAAUGAUCCAGUGGCUGCGCAUUUUUGUUAUUUUCUGAUUUUUGUUUUAAUUUCAUUUAAUUCCUUUUAUUUUCAAAAAUUCAUAAAUAAUUUAUUUGAAGUCACAAAAAUAUGAGACCAAUGCCAAAACUUUUCUUGAAAAAUCUAGUUUCAUAUUUUGAUUUUUAAUUAAUUUUAUGACUUGAUUUAAUAUUUUUUUGUGAAUUAUUUGGUUUUUAAUAGUUUUUAAUUCAUUUUAAUUACUUUUUUAUAUUUGAAAAAUCCAAAAAUAUUUUCUUAACACAUAUGGAUCAUGAUAAGUCAAUGAAAAAUAGUCUCAUCAAUUUCUUAAUUGAUUUGAGAUUUAUUUGAGAUUUUAAUUCAUUUGUGUUAUUUUUCAUUGUUUUUAAUUGUUUUAAAAUAGUUUCUGAUUUCAAAAAUUAUUGAAAAAUUUGUCAAAGCUUGUUAGACCUGUGAGAAUUUAGUUGGACUUGUUCAAGUUGAUUUGAAUUAAAUUUGAGUUUGACCAAUAUUUUGUCCAUUUUUUAUUUUUGCAUUUAUUUUUAAUUCAAAAAUACCAAAAAAAUAUGUUUGACUUGUUGACUUGUGAUCUUCAUUUCUCUUCUGUUUAGCAUUGGAUGAUGAUGAUUUGAUUCACUUUGACCAAUUGGUGUUUGAUAUUUGAUUUCUCUUUCAUUCAUUUCAUCUUCAUCUCUUUUCUUUUUUUAUUUUGGCCAAUGAGUUAAUGUCUUAUGGUUGGUCUUGACAAAUGAGAGGUUUAACCUUCUUUGAUCCAAAUCAAAACUCAAAUUUGAUCCAAGAUCAAGUGAGUUGCUUUGUGUCCAAGAUAGGUUGCUUCUUGGUCAAGCAAAAAACCUAAAGUCCAUACAAGGCCUUUCUCUUUUCUUUUGGCAUGGCAAGUUGUAGGAGCUUGGCUUAUUAGUCAUGACUCUAACUUGUGUUUAUUUGCCCAUAGUUUUAUUGACUGGCCUCAGAUAGGUGUGACUACUACAUUAGUCCACUUACGAUUGCUUAACAUAGCGCUAAAUUGUCUUAUGACAAACUAACAUAACCAUGCUAAUUACUAACUUUAAUUUGAGCAUUUAAUUUCUUGCAAUUUACUUUAAUGCAAUUUACUUCUUGCUCAUUUAUUCAUAUUGCUUUUCAUUUUGCUCACUUGAGCACAUAUUUUAUGUUUAUGCCAUUUUCCUUUUGCUCAUUGAGCUCAUUAUUGUAUAUAAAUAUAUUGUUGUCUUGUGAUUGUUUUUGUCUUUGUUUUGUGUGACUAAUGCAAAAGGAGAAGGACUUAGAAUUAGGACUUACCUAUGCUUAAAGGAGUUCAAGAGCAACUAGGCCUCAUGUCUUUAGAAUCUAAACUUGUUGAAGAGCAACUAGGCCUCAUGCCUUAGAAUGCUAAUUUCAAAGUUGACUUCAAAGGACUUCCUUUCCAAAACUCAUCUUUGUCCAUUCCUCUUAUUGUGUUGUGAACUUUUUGAUGUUUGUUCUUGUGUGAUAGGGAUUUCCAUCUUGAGAUAGUAAGAAGGACCAUUGUCAUGAAUAGCCAAGUUAAGAGAGACAAGCCAAAUGGAGAUCCUAGGAGCUUGAAUCCAAAUAUUGUGUGAUUGCUUAUUGUUUGCUAAGUCCAAAGGAAAGGAGGAUUUUGAAGCAGCUCUAUGAUCUCAAGAAAAGGAACUCCAAUGGUUUUAUCUCUUUCUCUUAUCUUUGUAUGCUUUAAGGACUAGCCCUUCUCUUCUUCUCCUCACUCUAACCCAAGCCAAACUCUUUUGUGCAAACUUUGACUUUGUUUCAAAUUAGAAACCUAGGCCUUAUGCCUUUGACUUUUCAAAAUCUUUUCAUUAAUACUCAUUGUGAAUAAAUCUUAAUUCAACUUUUACCUCAUUUUGUAAAUAAAUCUAACUUGUAAAUACAACUCAUUUCAAGUUGAUUUUGUGGUUCCAAUGGCCACCUUUGUUAAACCUUUUUUAUAAACAUUAGUCAUAGGUUUGAGUUAUCAUAGUGGUUGAUGUAAACCUCAUCUUAUCCUUAGUGAUUGGAUUAUAAGUCUCCCAUACUUAUUAUAGGGUUAAUCCCUCACUAGUAUGUUGAAGCUAUCCUCACAUGGUAGAUUGUUGGUUUAGGUUGAGUUUUCUCCCUUUGAUAACAAAAGACCUUAAGGCUUUUGACAAAUCAAUUCACCAAUCUUUGAGAUUUUUACCCCGAAUUACGAGGUUUUGAUCCUACCUUUGUGAUGGUACGUAGGCAAUGGGUUCAUCCGUUCAAACAACAAAUUUGUAAAUAUAAUAUAUUCUUCUCCCAUCCCCUCAAUCUUUUGCACAUAUUUUCACAAGUACCAACCUACAACACAUAUUUGCAAAAAGAGGUUCCCUUAGAGUACUAAGGAUGUUUUGGGUGCAUAAAACCUUCCCAUUUCAUAACCAACCCCCUUACCUAGAUCUCUGACAUUUUUAUUAGUUUUUUAUUUGAUAAAACUUCUUACUUGGCUUUUGUUCGCUUUUUAGCCUUUCCUUUGGACAAAUAAAAGUGUGGUGGCGACUCGAAUUGUAUGUUUACUUUUGGUUUAGUCAAUAAACCUAAAGGUAA